Molecule: long non-coding RNA, 63029 nt
Filed under: Physcomitrium patens
Lineage: Eukaryota; Viridiplantae; Streptophyta; Bryopsida; Funariales; Funariaceae
Description: long non-coding RNA (PPAT_LNC011312)
Source: RNAcentral
CAGUAGUCAAUAGACAAUUGAUGUUGCGGAAAUCUAUUCUCGAAAUAGGAACAGCGCAAGGUUGGGUAAGUAGUAAACUAUGGCAGAUGAAGUCUCACGUGAGGCCUGAGUAAAGGAACAAAAAAGAAAGAGCAACGAUUGUUCCCACAAUCUGCGAUGAUUGAAUGCAAGAACCAAAAGCAGAAGAAAGACCAUGCUUCGUUAAGUUUGAAAAAAGACCCAGUUGUGCAAUCGCACGUUUCGGAGUGCUUGUUCAUAAGUGCAUGAAUUCUAUUCGCGCAAGAAGGAAAGAUCAUGGCAUACGGGAAUCAUUGAAAUGACCUAAUCCAAAUAACCCUUCAAAACAUAUCACCUAAAAAGUGCGCAGCGACAGUAGGCUGUUAACAGCGCGACAUCACACGACAAUGCUAAGCUACCAAAGGCUCCAUGACCGCUCAACGCAGUGCUUCAGAGACUUGAAAUCUCUCGAUCAUUCCCAUUCCUUCAAAAAAAACUACUAAAAAUAAUAAUUGUGAUGAGAGUUUCCCUGUGACCUUGAACGCACACCUUGAUUGCAGUUUUUGGACAACAAACCAAGGCAUUCGUAUCAUGGAGCAACUUUGGGAACCGCAGGCAUGUGAUUAGCAGGCUCAAGCCGGUGCCACACUGUCACAUGGUGCUGAUACUUGCGAAGCUGCUCCUCAUUACACGCGUAGGCAUCACCACAUGCUUACCUUGCACAUGCUCAUCAUUUGAUCUGCAAUGUUGCAAGCUUUACUGCUUCUAAUGCUUUUUAUUCUUCAUCAUGGUCUCUUUCAAUUUUCUUUCAAAUUUCCUCCUUUCUAUUGAAAAAAGAAAACAAAACACUCUCUCCGUCAAGGACUGCACAAUUACACACCACCACCAAACUACGAGUGAUGUACCCCAAAGUAAAACAACGCUGGUUAGGACUUAACCAUGUCAAUGGGACAGAGCUGGGGUGAUUGUGACAAUGGGAGCUGCUGUGCAUGGUAGUGGAUGAGUAGAGUCAACUUGGCCUGAUCACAAGCAAGGAACCCUCAUCGCCAACUCCUUGACGUUCCUGUUAUUGUGUAAUUAGUGACUUAGAGAUGCACUUAGUAAACCCUAUUUUACUGUCACAUCCUUGCAUUAUUUAAGUAGGUUUGGUCAUAGGUUGGUUUUUAGGAAGAGAUUGUAGAGAUUUUUUUUCAAAUUUAUUUUAAUUAUUUUUUUAUUUUAAUUAAAGAUAUAAAGAAUAAAAAUUCUAUUUAUUUAUUCAUUUAGAUGGUCGAAUUUUUUUUUCUUUAAUUUAAAAUUAAUUUUUCAUAUUAGAUAAAAGAAAUUUUUUCCAAGACAACAACAAAUUUGAAACUAUUCACAAUUAGGAGAAUAUUUUUUUUCUAAAAUAGAACAAAAAUUGUAGCUAUAGUACCUUUCUAUUCUCCGCUAAUUUUUUUCUCUACCACUCUUCUUUUUUGUUCUUUCCAUCACUCUUUCCAUCGCUUUCCACCAAUCUUGCUCAUUACACUCUUUUCCAUUGUUCUCCAAAGAUUUUGCUCUCUACUAGUCUUACUUAUUGUUGGUCUUAGUUUCUAAUGAUUUCUAACCUCUAUCACAUCUACUCUCCAACCUCCACCACAUAUGCUCUCUAGUUUUAAAUAGUCCCACUCUCCAACCACUGUCAUGUUACCUCUCUACCUCCCAACAUUUCCACUUUUCAAUUUCUUUCACAUUCACUUUCAGGUCUCCAACAAGUGAUAAAAUAAUAUUAUUGUCACUUAUUCAUCUAUGCAAGACAAUGGCUUUGGAUGCAACUUCCACAUUUUCAUGAAUCAAUGCAAAGAUGGCUUAUUCUAUGUAAUCACAUUUACUUGGUACAAUGAAAAUUACUCUACAUUUCUACAACCAUUCUGCCUCCAAUAUAAUGUUCUUGUAGAGUUUGUUAUACCUAUGAUGCAUGAUGUCCAAGUUUUGUGACCACAUGACAUUUCUAACCAUAUAAAGAUGCAAGUGAAAGCAAAAAAAACGUAUGUAGGAAUUUGGAGAAGCCAAGAAAUCCACCAAAAAUGCUUUGUUAUUGGCUACAAGCUUGGAUUUUAGAAAAUAGCCGAGCUACUUGUUCAACCACAAGUUACCAAUUCUAAGAACUCUACAACAAUUGACAUGAACAACCAUGAGUGUUUUUUUCAAGCACUUUUGUACCUUGCUACAUAAAAGAUUAUUUUUAUACAUUGUUGUUUGAUGAUUACAAUUGAUGUGGCUCAUUCAAAAGCUACUUACAAAGGUGUUACUUAGGUCUUAGUAGCAUCAAUGGAAAAAGCUAGCUUGUUUUUAUUGCUUUUGAUAUUAUAUUAGUCAAAAAUACCAAAAACUAGAUCUAAUUUUGUAAACAAGUUCCACAUGCAAUAUUAUUUUUGAAUUUGCAAACAAAGACAGCAAUCAAAAAUUACAAAAAGAUAAGUUUUCAAUUGAAAUGUAAUAAUGAUAGAACAUCUGAACAUCAAAAAAAUGAAAGAGUAGACUAACAUAUUAUUUCUUAAUAUUCUUAGAAGAUAGAGCAUAAAAUAGUCUCAAAGCUCUCAAAUAUAGUACAUGUAUCUUACAUCUAGUACAAAAAGAAGAACGUAAAUAUGAAGUUUAAGACAAAAUUCAAUGACAAGAUUUAAGUGGCUACAAAAGCAUUGAUAGUAGAUGCACACAAGGCUACCAUGGCAAAAAUCAAUAAAAUACACCUUAAAGCGCAUACAUAUCUAAGAAGAAUUAUGUCUAAUAUUUGAAUUUUCAAACACAUAAAAAUCUCAUAUUUUAAAAUAUUUAUAUUAAAUUAAUAAAUAAAUAAAUAAAAUAUCUGUUUUUUUUAUGUAUGCUACAAAGAGUGGUUUGAUGCACUCAUCCAACUUCUUUGUAAGACUAGUGCUUUUUUCUUUAAAUAGCACAAUGAAUACAUCUAAGUAACAUGUGAUCCACCACACUCUAUAACUAAUGAGCUAUACAAGAGGACUAUAGAAGAUCAAAUAUGCUAGGUGAUCUAAAUGAAAACAUACAUCUUUGAAAUCCAAAGCUUCACCAUUCAAACCUUAUGUAUUGUUGACCAUAUGGAGUAAACUUGUUUUUAUAGAUACUUUCAACAAUACCAAUUCUUGUACAUCUAUGCAUGUACACAAGCAAUAGAUUUGCACAAAAGUAUCAAUUUUUUUCUUCAUUCUUUGUAUUUAAGAAGCUCACUUUGUUAGGUCUAUACUAAUGUUAUAGUGUAUGUAGACAUAAAUACAAUUAAUGUGGAUGGUACCAUUGUCCUACUCCACAAAAUCAAACAAGCAGAUUAUUUGAGCGAGAUCCAUAUUUGUAGUCAAAAGGAGGUUGAUUUUGAAUACUAAAUUACUUGCAAAAAGUUUUACAAGAAGGAUCACAACUAUUGUACUUAUAAUUGUUCUCACUAUUGAUGAUAAAGGUUGUUCUUAUUAUGGCAAAGUUAUUACCAUUACAAAAAACUUUUUUCUUCAUAGUAAUUCAUUUGCAAAAAAUAAAAUCGGAGAUUAUUUUUGAAAGGUUUUAUACAAUAGUAACUAUUUCAAGUUUGAAGUUGGUAACUCUUUAAAAAAAAAUUCUUUGCAAAUGUGAUAUUUGAAGCAAUUAACUAUUAAAGUCAAAAAAGUGAUGUGUUGCAUUAUUCACUAACAAAUCUUUUUGUUAGGCUAUUUUACAUAUUUUCAACAUAUAAAGUAAGCAAAAAUAAUCGUUCUCCUAUUUGUUUUUCUAUUUUUUAAAUACCUUCAAGUUUAUUUUUCUAUUCAUAAUUUUUUUUAAAUUUAAGCUUUAUUUUUAAAUAUUCUAUGUCUAAAUAUUAUUUUAUAAUAAUGAUAUUAUAUCAAGUGUUCUUUUGGAAAAAAAUUAUCACAACAAAUGACAUUAGCAUCAAAUCUCAAUAUAAUAAUAUUUUUGUGGUUUUUCUUUCAAAUAUUUAGAAUGUAUUUAUUAUCACCAAAAAUAGCCUUUUAAUUCUUAUUCUUAUAUAAAUUUUUUUGCUAACUUAUAAUGACUUGCCAUUGAUAGUUUAAAAUAUAACCACAAAUACACAUUGUAUUUUGUAUAUAUAAAAGAAAUUUAAUUAGAAAAUUCUCAAUUCUUUGUAUGAAAAUAUGUCCAUCUCUAUUAUCUUCUAUAUUACAUUUUUAAAUAAAAAAUAGCACCAUUUUUUAAUAAUAUAUUUUUAAUACAUAAUAUUGUUAUAUUGAAUAUAAUUAUAAGUCUCUUAAUUAUUAUAAAUAUUUUACUAAUUUUUAAUUCUUACAAUUUUUACUAUUAGCAAUACUUAAUUUUUUUGUCUAAAUUCUUAUUUGAAUUUAGAUGUAAGAUAAUAUAUAUUUCUUCUAUAUAAUUUUUAUGAUUUUUGAUUAUUUAAACAUCUUUAAAAUAUAAUUUUAAGUAAAAAUAAUACUUAAAAAGUAUUAAAAUAUUAAAAGAAUUUUUUACAAAUUUUAUUUGAUAAAAUCAUAUUAAAAAUAUUUUUUAUCUUUAAUUUUUUUUAAACUUGUUAUAUGUUGUUUAAUUUUUUAUUAAUAUUUUAAGAUUUUGGUACUAAAUUAUGAUAAAGUUUAUAAAUAUAUUUUAAGAACUUAAUAUUUUUAUUUUUAAAAUUAUAUAUAUAUAUAUAUAUAUAUAUAUAUAUAUAUAUAGUAUCUACUCAAUCCAACAUAAUUUCUACAUAUCAUUUCUUUCUAAAAUAAUUAUACUAUUUCUAUUAUCCACAAUAUUAUUUAUAUUAUAUCUAUAUUUAUCUACUUUUUAUCUUAAUAUCUCUUGUUUAGGCCAAUUAUUAUUAUUUGGAGACUUAUUGUUAUUAUGUUUACUUUUAAUUUUAAAAAUAUCUAAAAUUAAUUUUAUUUCACUCCUUCAUCUAUAAUUUUAUUUUAAACUUUUUAACUUUUUUAUCCAAAUACUUCUCUAUCUUCUCUCACUUCUAUUUUAUGUUCAUGAUUUGGCCUCAUGUACAUACAAUUCUAUAUGGUUUUUGCUAGGCACUUGGCAAUCCACUAAAUUUUACAAAAGUCUAUAUUUAUUACUACCUACAUAGUAUAUAUUAAUGAAUGUCUUACCAUCUACAAAAAACUUAUUAGUCCAAAUUUAUUAUUGGCACAAUAAUAUAAAUAAUACUUAAAUUUAAUUUAAAAUCAUUUAUUCAAUCUAUUUCUAUUUUUCCAUUUUAAGCAUUAAUGUUUUUAUGAUUAUAAUUUUAAUAUUAUUCUUAGUUGUUGUAAGUCUAUUUUGUAACUUGUUGAUUUUUCUUAAUAAAUUUUCUUGAUUUUAUUAAAAUUCUCUAACUUCUUAUUAAAAUAAUUAGAUUGUCUCUUCUUUUCUUUUCUUUAUAUACUUGUCAAUUCACCUAUGUAAAAUACAUGAUGCAAAUAUAUAAAUGCAUAAAAAUAAUUCCACCCAUAAACAAUUCUAUUUGGUAAAAACCUCACUUCUUUUGCGAUUUUAAGUAUGACCUUAAGCUGUCGACUAGUCUAUUUGUAAUAUAUCCUCCAACUUAAUUUCUUGCAUUAUGUGAAGAUGCAAAAAAUAAAUAAAUAAAACAACUUAACCCACAAGUACAUGGAUUUAGCCUUCCUUACAUUCCGACUCUGGCAACCCAGUUUGCUUGUUGGUCGUUCAAGACUUUUCUAAUGAAUUCCUUCAACCGAAAACAAUGGUUCCUUUUGAUUUUUUAUUUAAGAAAAGGUCACGGAUACAUUGUGGGGUGUGGCUCAAUGCACCAGCCGUGGAGAUAUUUUGCAUUGGAGUGUAAUCGUCGGUGAACUUGACCAACAAAAAUAAUUCGUGACCAUUUUUGCUACUGUUACUACAUGUGUUCGAUGUUAAGAAACCCGAUGAGAGACCCCGAACACGGAAGAUAAAAAGAAGCAGCAGUUGGUCUUGUGAAGUAUUUCAAAACUUCCCUCAACACUCAAAACGCACUCCAUGAACCGUAUCAUUUCUUCGUUCUCUGAUGUAAACAAGCACACACUCUGUUGUUCUUCGUGUUCUGAUACAAACUUGCACACACUCUGCACAAGGCCAUUUUCGCAAACCUCCUCUGGAACCAACAGCUUCAGAAGGUACGCACCAGUGCACCUCCACGACUUGUGUGGUGAGCAAAUCCCCACAACCCCACAUUGAGGAAGAAAUUAUUGAGACCUUUUUUAUAAUCUACAUAGCCAAUUACCCUGGCUAGUCGACAGCUGACUAAACUAAUUCUUACAAAUCUCUUUUUACAGCGAAAUUAUGUAAGGUAUGCUCGAACCAUCUAGCUAUUGUGACAGUAAAUCUUCCCUCGUGCACCGAUCAAUCGGCAAAUUGACACAAAAUUAUUGAUAGAGGUCCGCACGACCACGGUAAACAGCUGCAUAAAACCAUAUAUCAAGAUGUUACUUUGGCUAACACUGCAGGUGUGUAACUGUUAGCGUCGUUUAUUUGUUACGCCCAAUUCAGGUCUCAGUUCACUGAUCUCAUUCAUGUGAUGUAUUUUCCAGGGUUGAAAGAUAUGAAUUGCGACAGAUGGGAAGCAUCGGCGAAUGUACCUUUACAAGUAGGAAUGCUAUGAACCUCGUGAAGAAAUCAAACAAACCGAUAGAGAUGAAACUUCUACUGUGGAUAAAGAGGUGAGAUAACUCACGGAGUCUGUACAUGACGUUAUUACCAUUUCAAGCUGAGGCUGGCCCAUUGUAUGAGGAUCCUUUUGGUUUUUUUCAAGGGAAAUAAAAAGAAAGUAUUAAUAUUUUAUAUAUUGGAUUUAUUGCAUGCUAAUAUAAACUAUUAAGAAAACUUACAACAAUGAUUAGUCGCAUUGGUAUGAAGUAACAUCAAAGAAGCACUGUAGGUGCUUAUCAACAAACAGAAAAUACGAGGAAGAGUAGGGUAGACCAUCCACCAGGUCGUGAAAAACCAGUCACAUACUAAUUUAUUGAAUCAACCGAGUUCCGAAGAAAAAGGUGGAGUAAAUACCCACUACUCAAGCAAAGAUCAAGCUCUGCUGUUAAGAAAACUAAAGAUCCAUGCUAGCGAUUACAGAACAAAGAAACCGAACCAAAAUACCAAAAAACGAAAACAAUAAACAUGGACAUCAAGGAUAUGUAUACAUUAUUUUAAGAAUUAGAGGGAGGAAAAAAAGACAAAACAAGACAAAACACAAAAAUACAGAAAGCACAAUUUGAUACUUGUUAUUCGAAGUCCCUUCUUCAUCAGCAAAGGAAUACAACAGGUAGCUUUUCAAGAGCAGACACAUUCUACAUAAUACUUGUGCAUAGACUUCUAUUCAAGUCAACGAACUAGAUGACUUCAUAUCGCCAGAACGCGCUUAGAUGGCUCCAUGCCAGUACGACAGGGCCCUCCAAAAAUUAUAUGAAGUUAUACCAGUCUGAGAAACUGAUUAAACGGCUUUGCACUACACAUUGAGACACCCGUGCAAAGACUGCAAGCUGGUUUCAAACCACAAAAAGUAGGACAUAAUACUUCUAACAACAUGAUUGGUUGCAAAUUCUUUUCACUGCUGAAAGGCUUCAGUACUUGACUUAUCAGAACAUGCACGUUUCGAAAAAGGCAACGCUGGACCAUCCACGUAAACCUCGUCCUCGGAAGACAGUGCAAGAAGUGGUGUACCUAUCAAUACCGCAGCAUAUCACCUUCCACUCCCAGCGGAGCCUGUGGAAACAUAUUCAUUGGUCCCAAAUGAGCUGAUCGACGUCCAUCAACCCCAAACCAUCUUUCAACGCCUCCAUCGCCACCAUAGCCGCCCGGAGUAGUGCUUUUGCUGUUCAUCAUCUGAAAUUCUGGCUGAAAGGGGCCUAAAAGUCCCCCCGAAGGCACUGGGUUAGACAGACGUUGCUGCUCAUGCAUGUGCUGACCAGCUGGUACCAAAACAGAGCCUGUUCCUGCAGAAAGCUGUGGUUUAAAACUUUCCUGCUCUUGCACUACCAUUCCAUAAUGAUGUAAUUGGGGGCGCUGAAGCAUCUGAGGCUGGCCCAUUAUAUGAGUUGGAGGAUGCGAAAUGGAGCCAGGGAAACUGUGCGACGGUGGUUGUAUGAUAUGUGGAGCUGAAAAUCCAUCAAAUCCCCCAUCCAAUCCAUUGCUAUUGAACAACGGACCAUGCGCUUGUUGUCGAAAGGAGGGAUGAGGAAAGCUGACAUUAGCGCUACCAAGCUGUGCUCGUUGCUGGUUAGGUUGCCCAAGGGAUGAGCCCAAGUGUUGCAUUGAUGCAGCUGGCAAAGUUCUAUUAAUCGUAACCACUUCGUCAUGGGUCUGCAAAGUAGUACCUCCAAAAUUGGGAGUUGCUCCGUUCAAAUUAUCCAUGAACACAUUGUUGUGAUCGUUGGUAGCGUCAGGUUUCCUCCAUAAUCCAGGGAUAGAAGGUGCACUAGCGGUCCUAUCUUCAAAGUCUUCAUGUGUAGUGCGAUUCAAGUGUGAUUCUUUCAAGGCAUGACCGGCCUUCACAUGACCGCCAGCUUCCACAUCGUUGCUGUCUGGCCACAUGCUGUUCCAUCCGGGUCCAGAGCUUGCAAACCAAUCUCGAGGACCACCCAUACCAUUUGACCUUGUUUUGGUGUUGAAUUCUCCAUUAUGCAUCGGAAAGGAAGCCUUUUCCAGCUCACUCUCCUGAAUUGCGAGACCAUCGUCUAAAAACAUCCUAACUGGUGCUGCUGCUUCGGGCGUUUGCAACUCAUUCAAAAACGCUUUGCCGAAUAGCGACGCCAAUGUAUGAACUUCAUUGAUUUGGUUGUUGCUAGGAUCUGAUUUCUUCCAUGCCUGUUCAACGCUCGGCUUUGCACUUGUAUCCUCCAUAUCCAUGACCUUACUAGGCAGCCCUGCUUCUAAAGUAGGAGGUUUCUUGAGAAUAAGUGAAAGAAGGUGUUGAGAAGCACUUGCAGCACUCUUGGGUGGGGUCUCUUCUUCUGCCAGUGAGAGGGGUGUAUUUGUCUCAAGCUGAGGGCCACUCCCAGCAGCUUCAGCCAGCAAUGCCUGCUCGAUGUCCUCACAAGUCAUGAACACCGGAGGCGUAUUGGGAACCUGUUUAUGCUGUGCAAUUGAGUUUUCUGUAAAACUGUUAUUGGUAACAGUGUGGUUAUUGGGAUUAGGGACUUUCACCAUGUUUGCCAAACCUUUCUCAAUGCCCUCCAAGGAUGGACCCACAGGCAUAGGAAGUACAUUGAAUCCAGACAUCAUGAAGGAGCCAAGUCCACCAAUACUUUGGAUGUCUUUCUCCAACGGAGCAGAGUUCUUAGUAUGCUCGCUACUUCCAAACAAAGACAUGAGAUUUUUGGAGCUGCUUGUUUGACUUGUUGUAAACUUAUCUUCUGCAAUCUCCCAUUGACGUUUGUAAAAAUACCAUACGAAGUUUACCCCAAGCAGUAUUAAAGUCGAAAGAGUAGACAAGUAAGAUUGAAAAGAUAACACAAUAAAUUGCUUAGUUGAUUAGUCCCAACACAAAAAUGACUGACAACAGAAUAGAUAGAGGGUGCAUCUUUGGCUUGCUAUGAGCGGAACAAAGGAAAAUUAAGCGGCCAUACCUUCCGCAUGAAACCAGUGAGCGAAUUUAGAUGCUUUUGAAAGGCUUCCUGACCAAUUCUCUUCAUCUGAAGCUGGGAUAAGGGGCUGGCACGUUAUAGGAAUACAUCAGGAUCCAAAUACUUCGAUUAAAAAGUGGCUGUUUAAAAAUUCAAGGUGCGAUCUACCGCUCAGGACACAUUACGCACGAUUACACAUUAUACUUAAAACGAGACGUUAUACUUUACAACAAAGACAAAACUGUGCAUUUCCACAUGUCUCCAGCCUAAAAACAAGAUAAUUGGUCGAAAAGAAAAAACAAAACCAAAAUACUCUCUAACUAGAAACCCUAAUAAGUACAGCAUAAGGAAUGUCACGCAAAAUGUAGAUACCUCAUUCUUAGAUAGAUCAGAGGGAAGGGCAAAAUCAUCAAUGGUUGUUGGUGCGGCGUUUCCAAAUAGCUUGUCAAGCAAUGACUCUUUUCGGAUACUGGAUGCAUCUUCGGUGGAUAGAAUAUCACUAACUGAAUCUAGGUCCUGGCCCUCCAGAUUAAAACUCCACAUAUCUGGCAGCCCUGCUGAUCUCUUCCUUUCGAGGCUUCCUUCAGAGGAAAGAGAAUCAUUUCUGGUAUUAUCCUUUGUAGCUUCAGUAACUACAACUUUCGUUUCAACAUCCGAGUCUACAUUCAUUUUGGCAACUGGAGUUGCAAUCUUGAUUUCUUUGAUGUCAGCUAUGCUACUACUCGAACGAGCUGAAGGAUCACCUGUCUUAUCAGGAUCCAAUAAGUUCUGGUCCUUAACCGAAUCAUCCUUUGAAUGACGACCAUGAUUACCUUGUGCAUCGUUCUACACAGCAAAUUGAAUGAUCAAAUAAUUGUAAGCCAAAAGUUUACAUCAACUAAAAAUCUGUUCACCACAUUGUUCUAGGUAACAUGUAACCACCAGAUAUUGAAUCGAAACAUGUACUCAACUGCAAAGAUUAGUACCUGCUGUAGGGGUGUUUGAUUUGAAUUUAGCCGCUGCUGGAGCACAUUUGAAAAACCAGGCGGAACAGCAGGGCGAGGAGGGGUUGGAACAGGAGUUAUAGCAGUCUUGGGAACAGGUGAGAGAGGAGGAGACUGAUGAGAGGGGUUAUCCCAAAGACUAUUCUCAUCAUGUUUCAGAUUUACAGCCGAUUUUCCUGACUUUGUCAAGGAUUGUUUUUGUUCUUGCACAUGCCUGUGCUGCUCUUUACGCAUCAAUUCGAAAGCCUCUGCACACAGCAUUUCUCUUGCUGAAUCAGAUCUGGUAUAUGGUUAAACAAUCAGUUCAGCAUCAAAAUAGAUAAAAGGGCGGGAAGCAUGUUAGGUUUCACAGUAUGCAUAUCUCACGAGUCUAGACUUCACAGGCUACACAUCAAGUGCGCAACCAAUGAAUGUAGAACGUCUCGGACAAUUCAAAGGUUGGCACAAACAGCAAAACAACUACAUCUACGGCAGAAAAGAAAUAAAAAUUGAUUGAAAAUUCUCAUGCCUGAAUCACAAGUGGAAUAACACUGCAAUUACAUGAUGAUCGGAACAACUAACCAAAAUGGUUGCGGAACUGCAAACCAAAACAAUGUAAAAUUUACCAACAAUCUAUACUCACCACGACGCUUACGUUCCUGAUCGGAUCUAUCAUCGUGAGAAGAUUCUAAAAACCCAAACGUUUCAUCAUUCACAAUGUCAGUAUCUUCGCGACGUCCAUACACUGGCGCCUGCAGUAAACAAUCCACAAAAACAGCAGAAAAUAAGUAAAUCCGACAACAAUGAAGUCCGCAAUUACAACCAAAAUGUUUACUUUCUUGUCACUAGAAAUCAUCCAGGUCUGCAAAAUAAUAAGGCCUUAAGUUAGCGACCAGAAAGCACAAUCAACCAAGAACUGGCCAGGCAUUACUGAGAUGUAGCCAAGAGCAAACUAUGACUUCAACGUACACGCUAACCAAGUGUCGAUCACAAGAAUACAAACAAGCCACACAAACCAUACCAAUAGACAUUGCAUGCUUCAGUUACACCAAAUGAGUGUACCGCAAGAGCACCUACCUUAACACGAGGGCGAGAAGGCUGGUAAUUAUCAGCUGGUCGGCCCACGCGGGUGUGCGCUUGAGGGGGCGGUCGAUUCCCACUUCCUAGUAGGCCAUCACGUUCAACCCAGGGGCGCGGACUUGCAUCUCCUUUCCCUCCCGAACCUGCACCAAAUUCAAAAAUAGACACACACAUGAUCUGCUGUAUUUAAAUACAUGAUUAAGAUGUGUAUACAUAGAUAGCAGCAGAAAAAUGAAAACACCCGCUACCUCCUUCGUCGGCAUCCCAUUCUUGACCAUGACGCCCUCGCUCACGGUCUUUAUCUCCAUUGCGAUCCCAUCUACCUGGAGGGCCGUUAGGACCAAGCCGAUCGUGUGGUGGCCUUGGAGGACCAUUAUGUUCAACCCAAGGACCAGAAGGUCGAGGCGGGUAGCUGCUGGAAAAGGCAUUGCCCAGAGGUUCUUCUUCAUAAGGUUUGCGGCGGGGGCCUGACUGUAGAAUGGCACCUCCACCAUUAGGUCUCCUCCAUUCCGGAAGGUCAUCAACCGGUGAUUUACUGUAAGCUAAGUCACUGUCCAACAUCACCACGCAAAGUUCAGCAUCAGGGAUGCUCGCAAUAUCCAAACUGUUGUUCACAUUGACAGGAUUUUCUAUAAGAUUAUUAUAAAAAUGGCAAAGUAAGAGCCAAAUUCCUUUUGGUUCAUUGAUGGUGCUCAAUAUCUUGGCUGAUCUUUCUUUGCAACAACAUCUCCAUCGAUCUAAAUGGGUUACGUCAGUCCCCUUUGAGGGUUCCGCAAACAACUGGUGAUGAGCCCUAUUCCCCUGACCCAAUCACAACCAUCCCUUAGGUCACCCACAAAACUAUGUCAAAUAUCUCUGGAAAUCGACCUAUUAAAAACCUCUCAAUUCAACCCAUAGGUGAAUAUGCUUUCUCGAAAUUAUGAGUAAUCACAUACUGCAACCAAAAACCCUAAAAUUGACGAUUAUUAAAGUUACUGCCAGGCCAGAUGUCUAUCGUUCAAAGUGCAGGCACCCGAGACCUACAUCAGCAACUAACUGUGCGCUGCAAAGAUCCUCCCACAAAAUCUUGAGUGAACGCUUGUGCUGAUCACAGCUAAAAAAAAUUUCACUAAGUUACGUAAUCCUUCGGAUUUGUAAUUCUAACUCGACAUUGACUUUUGUAAAGAUUCUCACCAAUCCCUACGUACGAGACCUCGGGCAGAUGGCACCACCGGAAUUGCAAUGUUCCCCUCCACCACGUCGGAAUUGAUCGAAACACUGCAUACAAGAGCAAAUUUCAUAUCAUUGAUGGAGUCUCAAAGAUAUCAAAGAAUCGUGUCAUACAGACCAAAUCCAUCAUGUUCCAGAACGGCUGCCUCCACAACACACGUCAAUUUCGGUCUGUUGCUAAGAUUUUAAGAAAUAUACAGCACUAGACAGACAAAUAAACUUGACCUUAAUUAGACUAGUAAGGGAGCAAAUAUUACACAAAACAAAGAAUAGGCGACUACUGCACGAUUUGAUUGCCGUUCGAACUGUUCACUUCCGCACAGAAAUUUGAAAUGCAUGGUCAUGACAUCAUACCUCCAUAAAACAGGAUCUAUUCCAUCCGGACGAGUCUGGCAGCUGGGUAGUGUGGCAAAAGCCAACAAAGUAUCUUUCGUAUAUCUGUACAUCUUCUUGGUCGUCAUUCUGUGUACGCGUGCACGAAUUACAACCAUAUACGCAAACGAGCACCAAGACUAUUUGCCUAUUAGAUCUACAGUAGCUGACACUGUUUAUUACCGCAAUGCAUCGAUAAUGUUACCAAGUUCUACCAGCCACGAUGCUAGCCUCUUAUCAUUCAGAAAACUGACUACAGGCGUGUAAGCCUAAGGUUCAUCUGAAAAAACUGAAAGUGAACAAUCCAUAGUUCUUUCAGGAUUUGAGCGGACGCAUUAGGCAUGACUUGGCAUCUUCAGCUUCUCAUUGUAAGUAACUCCCGUGUCUAAAACCUAACUUUAUCUGUUAUGGUGCUGAUCGCAGGAGGUGUUUAAGGCAAUUUUGCAUCUCGAAACAGGCAUGGGAUCUAAUGUCGAAAAUUCAAAUCAAGUGCUUGAAAUGUCACAAGGGACGUGUGUGAGAGUAAACAACUUGCGGGAAGUCAACCUUGACAGUCAAGAUAGGCAAUCAGGAACCGAAUCAAGUGUAAUUACAGAACCUGUACGACCUAAAACUCUCCGUUGAUCUUUCUCACAAUCUUCUCACUCGAUUCAGCGAACUCCCGACUACGCCUUAGUGGAAGGCUCAAAACCACAAAGGAAAUAGAGGGAUCAGAAACAAGCGAUAAGAUCUGGACUUCGGUGAACUGCAAAGCCAAUCGACUUAUGCUUUGGAUACUAGCGCCGACGGCAAAACCUAAGACAAACUUAACUACAGAUGUUCAACUCUCUCAUCUGUCAAUUGAAGCCUUCCAUGAAACAUCGUUGAAAAUUGAAGUUCAAAGAUAGACGCCGGAGGGCAGAUACGAAUUUUGACGAAACAGGAAAGGAACUUAUCAAUGUGUCGGCAAACACAGUAAUUACACUACUUUCACAGAACCCCUCCACUUCCCGACUCCCGUCCUCUCUCGUGUCUCCUCGUCCUCAGUUCCUUCACAGGAUAGCAGCGAUGCGAAUGAGGUGCUCAAUCACAGCAACAGGCGCAACCUCGGAAGAAUCAUUCAAAGAGACCAUAACUCACAACCUCGCCAUCCUCCCCAUCACAACCUACCACCACAGAGCGAAUGCAACUAUUCAGCCUCCCUCCCUCCCUCCCUCCCUUCCAGCCGUAAACCGAGUCGCAAAAAAAAACGCCGAACCAACUUAAAACAAAACCUCCCUGUGGAGUUCAUGUCGAGUAAGCAAAAUGCUCUGUAACUCGCCACACUCCCUCCACAAGAAGUGCUCCACCAUCCUGGCGAAUGCUUUCUUCCGGACGACGCAAGGCCUUGUCUGUUUCCUCUCCUGCAAGUUACUCCAGACCAGGACCUAAUCCUCAGAAAAAUCCCCUUUCCCCUUCUCCCUCUACCAUAGUGUCAUGAGAGUCUCUCUACAACAACAAGCCAUCAUAUCCUAAUACGUAUCGAUUGUCUCCAGAAACGAGCCGAAUGAUCGUGAAAAUGCGAACGAAAGCGAGGGUCUGCGAUACAAAGUGAGAGCGGGUGCGGUGCGUUUACGGAUCAGCAGGGUGCGAUGCCAAAGAAUGCGAAUGCGACUCGGUGAGCCUAGAGACCCUCUCUUCUCUCUCAUUUCGCUCUGCGUAUGCCCCACUUGCAUGAACGUGACGGUGCCUCAGCGUUCUCUUUCCGUCCGUUAUCUUUAUCGCAAGCCUCUUUCGUGUUUCUUUUUCACUUCGUAUCGAAUAUUUCUCUAGUGCACAGUCACACUUCCAUCUUGGUUCCAAAUCAGGCAACCUAACUGAUUUGACCUUGAUCCUCACUCUAUCUCUGCUGUAAUGUAAGAAACAGUAGAUAGAGGAAACCUGAAAACACAACAAUCUGCACCUCGGUUUGGUUGGAAACUUCUACAUUAAACCCACAUUAUUGGUAUGUGCGUGAAUUACUGCGGCACUAGGAGGCUGCUUUCAAAUUUACUGCUCGACUGGCUUCUCAAUUACCAACCUAACAACCAUCACUGCUACGCUAGUAGGUGGUGAUAGAUGCUAGCGACAAUCAGUAGAGAGAAACAGUCACAAGAGAACUCAAUCAGCACAGGUGAUAACUGCACCUUUGCUUGUGAAGAGAAAACAGCCUGCUAACAUUUUUUCUAGCUUCAGUCCUCUCAUAUAUAAUCUAAAACACUAACUUGAAAAUGAGAGGCCGUAAGUUAUUCCAACUACAAAUUUCUACUCAUUCGACCGAAAGUUCGGUGCAAACAUUCCUCACCUGCUGCUUUUUCACUCGUGAUUUCUCAUUGCAUGAAUUCAGUUCAAAGUAUGACAGCAGGUAAAUUGUGGAAGAUGAGACUGGUGAUUUUGACUAUUUCCUGGUCGGCAGGCUGAGAUUGAAGACUUCUUUCAUGUAGCUGUAUUUCUUUCAUUUUAAACCUGAGGUGGACUUCUGAAAGACAUUCGGGUUGUUUGAAAAAAAUAUGUAACAUUUUGAUGUAACAGCUCCUAAACCUCUGGGUUGAAUGAAUCUAAGAGCUAACCACAGCUUGCAAAACAACGCCACACUGCAUGAUACAGGACUUUAAGUGUCGACCAUGUACAACCUCGAUUGUUGUGAAAGUCCGCAACCACACCAGCAGGCCGCUAACGUCGCCAGGUCCACGGAUAAAACCCAAUUCUGAUCAGAAAGACUUGUGACUGUUGAUACGUAAAAUGAAACCACGCUCACUUGAAUUUCUUCAGAUGUGCGCUUCUUUCGUGCACCUCUCCAGUCCAACCAUGUUGUAGGCGCCACAACUGCGAGCUCACGUCUGGCGUGUAAGGAUGUUAACAAAUGGCAGGUGAACGGUUAAGAUGCAAUGACCUUAACUACCAAACUGGCUGUAAUCGAAUUUAUAAACCCUUCAGCGCUUUCUAGCGCUACUCUUCCCUGUUCUAGAGCUUGGCAGCCACUUCAGAACUCAACAUUUGAAUGGGGAACCAGUCAACCAUCUUCCAAGAAUUAUGCUCUACUUGCAUUCUCCUCCUUCACAACUGGGACUUCAACAUCAGCAUCCGCUGUCAAUAGCUCUGAAAGAAGAGUACUAAGAAAGUGGCGGAUCCAAUAUUCGACAACCCCCAGCUGCAAUCCAGUCCAACAGAAGCAAACAAUAUGCCCAGAGGAAGUGUUCCCGGUCGUCCUCCUAACAUACCAGAAGAAAAAAUACCAGUAAUCGCAGUUAUUGCUCCUGAUAUUCGUAAACUUUCCUGGUAAUAAACUUCCUAAUCUAUACAACUACUAACGGGCACAACUGGAUUGAAACAGUAAUCCUGAUGCUAUUAAGACAAUGACGGUGACACCCUCAACGAUACAUUCAAAAGGCAUGAAAUAAGAAAAAUAUGCACGAUGCGGUGAAAAUGCGCUGCAGUUCAAGAACAAGCAGAGAGGAAUCGUCGUCGUAAAAGGACGAGAACGACCUGACCAACUACAGCUUCAUAAUAAUGUAGUUCAACUUUGACACUGAAACGUUGCAGUACAUUCACCAUGUCUUGUUUAACUCAAUAUCAGAACAACGCGCACGGAAAAAUAUUGGUACCUUGGAAAUGCUCCAGCAAACCACGGGUGCCAAGUCCUUCAACUCCGGCGUCAACCCAAAUUCUCCAGCCCAGAAUCUCGAAGCUCCCGAGUAACUUCCGGAGCAGCUAAAACCAAGCUACAGAAGAUUCAGUACUAUGGUUCCCCAGAUAAUUCUGCACGACAUUGCCGAACGAAAUUCAAAUUGAGCCUAUGAUCCCAGAAAAUGAAGGUGUGCAGCGCAUACAAUUCAAAUCUUCCAUCCUAGAACACAUCACAUUCUCUGUCCGAAGCGGCGUUUAAGCAAUAUAUAGUUUAUUUAUGUAAAUAUAACAUGUAUGUAUGUCCCUACGUGUGAGGGGUUGAGGAGGUGGGUGGGUGAGUAAAUGUUAGGUUUCUCCUUCUUUUUCUUUUUCAAUGGUGGUUAGGAGGAGAGGUUGGAAACACCUCAGAGGCAAGAGGCUGCAACGAGAAAAUUGGUGGCUACUGUUAAUCCUCACCGCAGAGCUAAAUGACACCUUACGGCUCAAACUAGAAGCCCCACUCCCGCACCAUAACCUCCUGCAGCACUUGUUUACCCGCUUCAGCUCUCAGUUAGUACCCUAGAGACUACAGCAACGCGAUGCAUCCUUCCGCGAAAGAAUCUGGCAUGGUUGCCCUCUCAGAUAAUUUGAGAAGCCUAGCUGCAAUCGCAAAGCAAUCGCUUUUGAUCGAUUGGUCUCAAAAUGCUAACAGUCUUCCCUCGUAAAAUGAACCAAAAAACAGCUAUCACAUGCCCCGCCACUUAAUUUUCAGCCACGAACAACUUUCGACUAGAACUACGAAUCCAGCAUUGUGAAACAAAUCCAUGGGUACGGUAUCAACAAGACAUAAAAAGCACAUAUAUACUUAAACCUCCUCCCUCCAAACUCAAAACCAACUACACAAACUCCACGUAUAUACACUGCCAGAUCGCAACGACAAACCCUAUUUACUUGCACACGCCUAAGACUGCCACGAAUCACAUGAUGUCCAAAUAUCAAAAUUCACAACAUACCUGUUGCGAGUGAUCUGAAGAUGCUUCGAAAACCUUGAUCAUCAUAGCCAUGGCAAUCUAGCGGCCUACCCAGCAGAACUCACUGCCUUCCUAUCGACAUCCAUCCAUCGCUUGCCUCUUGCUCCAUCACCGGCCAUCUCUCCUUCUUCAUCAUCUCUACAUAGUCUAUAUCCCUCUUCUCGACCAAACCUCAUAUCCAGGGGCCAAACCGCAAAAAACGAUGGACUCCACUCGCUUCACCUUCGUUGAAACCACUGUAAACCCAUCAAAAACAAGAGCUCCCAUCGGAGUGUAGAACAAACCUCAACAUCUCCUUCAAUCCACGAUCCCAUGAAAACCCUUUCCUCGCAUUCGAUUCUAGCCCGCGUUUCCGCAUGGGUUUGCUUUGUUGAAAGGUGGUUGUACGAAAGUACGCCGAACUACGUAUUCCCCCUGGUGGUGAUCGUAUCCGAGGGUGAAAUUGAUGGGAUGAGGGUGUUGGAGGAAUGAAUCUCGAAGAUUCGAACAACCCAACUCUGCCUUCCCCCCAUUCACCCUAAUCCUCUCAUCCUCAAAGUCCACAUGAAACCCUUGCAUCGAAUAUGAAACGGCACAGCUGCUGCUGCUGCUAUGAUCCAUUUCUAUCCAUGGAUGCGCUUGAUGCUGUCGACAGCGAUGUGCAAAUCUGCUCCGACCCAACAAUUUUUUUCCUUCAUCUGGCUUGCCUUGUUCGAUGAAGGAUGAUGAAACCCAUCUGCAAAACUGGGACUUUUCACACAGGUCCCUCUCCCCCAGCACCCAAAACUCGCAUCUUGGCACCACAAAAUGGGCUUUAAAAACUCUUUCUUUUAACGUGUUAGUGAUUCAUGUUCUCUUUCUAUGUGAAACUAUGUGUUGGAGUCGUAUCACUGCUGAUAAAAUGUUUAUAAAAAAAGAAAUACAUAUAUGCAGAGAGAGGGGGGGGGGGGGGGGGGGGGUUUGUAGGCUGAAAUAUCAUGAUCGAAAUAUAAAUUGGUGUAAUGUCUGGUUUUUAAGUUCAGAGUCUGAUAUAUGUUAUGUAUGGAACGUAAGGAUUUCUUAGUUGAAUUUGGUUGUGAUUUGAAACUUAUUUUUUUCUUUCCUUUUCUCUUAUUGUUGUGUGUGAAUAUAUAUAUAUAUAUAUAUAUAUAUAUAUACAUACACAUACAUAUAGGAUACUAUUAAUAUCACCACAAUCCGCCACUCAUUUGACAUAUUUUUAUAGCUUUUAUCUUAAUAAAAAAAUGAUUCAAUCAAAUAGUUUGAAAGUUAUUAAACAAAUGAAAUUUGAUUGAUUUAAAAGAUAUUAAAUAAAAUGUUGCAUAGAGUGGAUGGGAGGUUGUGGUGGCAAGAGCAAUACUAUAUAUAUAUAUAUAUAUAUAUAUAUAUAAUUUUAUUUUUAUAAAUUUAAUAAAAAUUAUUUUUAAAUAAUAUGAAGCAUCUUGAUAAGAUAGUCAUGAAAUUUAAAAAAAAAACAAAAAACAAAAAACAAAACAAUAGAAAUAAAAAGAAUUGUAAAAAGAAUUUAAACGGUGUCUCAAUAUAGUACAAAAUACUACCUUAACUUAUAUAUAGUUGUUCAUAAGAGUCCUACUUUAGGCCCAAAAAUAACUCAAGUAAAAUUGAAUAAAUAAGUUUAAUUUUAUGUAUUUGAGAAUUUUCCAAAAUUUAGAUCAAAGUUUGUAAUAAGGUUAUUUGACGAAAGCAUGCUUUCUAUUUUUAUUGCCAAACAAUUGACUCUAAAAAAGCAUGCUUGCUAUAAUUAUAUAUUUUUUAAUAUUUACUAUUUUAUAUUAUUUUAUUAUUUUAAGUAAAAGAAUUACUACAAAUCAAGAAUAAUUUUUAGAGUGAUGAAAGCAUAAUAUACAUUGUUAAUUUUAGUUUAAUUAUUCUUUUAGAGACAACAAUUUUGCAUCUAUAUAUGCUUUGCUAGUUCAUCUUUUAUUGUUUUCAAUUCCAUAGUGGCUCAUGACAGCACCCAACAAUGGCAACACAAUUGGUGCACUUUUAUUUUUCAAGUAUCGGAAGUUCCACAAUAAUAUACAUUAGUUAGUAUUUUUGCAUUAAAAUUAUAAUUAAUUUUUUACCACUUUAUUUAUUCUUAAAUUAUCUAAUACAAUUUUUUGCUUCAUUUUUUUAUGUUUAUAAGUAGCUUAAAAUAAAAUUACAAUGUAAUUCUUUUCAUCUGUUGGAAGCUCUACAUAUGUGACCCUUAUUUAUAUUAUAUACAAAUAAGAUUUCCAUGUAGCACAUUCAUAUGGCUCAUGCUUUUGGUUUAAAGAAAAGUAUAAUUUGGUUUGGUAUAAAAAAAUUUUUAUGUAUUUAAAAAAAUAUUUAAUUUAAAUUUAAAUUUUAAAUUUUUUAUGAGAUUCUAUCAACCAAAGUGUAGCACUUUGUCUUACAAUUUGCCUAACAAUUCGGUCUCACUCAACUUAUAUCAGAAUCUUAUACAUUCUUUACUCUUUUGCACAAUUGUUUUUCUAUUGUCAAAUUACUUUUAUACAAGUACAAAAAUAUAUAUAUAUAUAUAUAUAUAUAGAUAGGUAUGACAUUAUUUCUAAAUUCAUAGAGACAUGACAAAUAUUAACAAGCUUGGUUCAAUUUUUAUUAGAAACAACAAUUUUGUAUCCAUGUCUCUCUUUUAAGCAAAUUAUUUGUUGUUUGCAUUUAGAUGGUGGCUUGUGUCAUCUAAAAAUAUUUUCACAUAAUUGAUGCAUCUCUAUUUGUCAAGCAAUAAAUGUUGUACAUAAUCACAUAAUAGUUAAUAUUUUUGCUAAAUAAUUAUCAAUACAACUUCUUUAAAACUUUACAUAUUUUUAAAAAAUCUGGUGAAAAUAAUCAAUUUUUUAUUUAAUUUUUAAAAAACAAAUUAAAAACCAGGAUUUGACGUUUCUCAUCCUUUAAAAACUUAACUUUAAUACACUAUUUAUACAUAUUUAUUUAUUACACAAUAGAUAUAUACACACUCACAUAUGUAUGUUUUUAUUUUUAUUUUUUGAAAUACAAACUUCAUUGAAACGACAUCUUAUUUUGGUAAAAAUUAUCAAACUCUACAUCAUUUCAAAAUAGCACUUGAAAACUCGAAAUUGGUAAAUAUGUAAUUAGAAUCAUCUUUACGGCAAUGCAAAAUAAAUUCUUAGAGCAUAGCUGAAUGAAAAAAUUACUAGAAAUAAAGUUCUCAAAUUUAUGAAUACGUGGUGCAUUUACUAAGUAUAAAGUGUAAGUAUAAAGUGUAACACAAUAAUUCAUAUCUAAUAAACAAAUAAAUUCUUAAAAAAUAAAUGUUAUAUAUUUUUUAAAAAAUAAAUGUUAUAUAUUUUUUAAAAAAUAAAUGUUAUAUAUUUUUUUAAAAAUAAAUGUUAUAUAUUUUUUAAAAAAUAAAUGUUAUAUAUAUUUUUUAAAAUAAAGUCAUUAAUAAUUUUAAUAAUAAUUAAAAUUAAAAAAAUGCAAAGACAAUUAAAAUAAAAUUUACCAUAUUUUAUCAUACUUUUAUAAAAUAUUUUAUUUAUUUAUUUGUUUAUUUUGAAUAUGAUUUUCAUUUGCUAAUAAGAAGUUUUGUAAAGUUUUGCAUAAUUAUUGUAAGAGUUUUAAAUAAUUAUUAACUUUUGAUUUUGUAAAACUCAUGAAAAAUGCACAAUGUUAAUUAACGUAUCGAUAAUAACCAAGUUUUUUCAAUUUUAAUAAAUGACGAGUUACAAUGAAUAAUUAGUUGUAAACUGAAUACAGUUACUUUAUUUCAGGACAAAAUAAAUUUUAGGUUAGAAUAUGCAAUAUGUCAAUGCAAUCAUGCUAUCAUUGACCAAAAGAGUAUUAAUUUAAAAAUAUAAUGUAUGACACUCUUUAUCAAUGUAUAUGUUUACCUUCUCAAUUUUAAUAAAAAUAUGACAAUUCUACUAUUUUAAAAAAAGAAAUUAAAAUUAAACCACAAAAUUUUACUUUACUCAAUUCAAAAACUAUUAUUAUUUAACAAUUUACCUUGAACUUGCCAUAUGUAUGCCAGUCAUAAUUCUCAUUUGAAGCAUAAAGAAGAAGUUACUUAUUUCUUGUAUAUAAUAAAAUUAUUAACUUUACAAACAAGUAAGAACUUUAUAUACUUGUUACCUUUUUUUUAUUCUAUUCAAUAUACAUCAUUCAUUAUUAAUAUGGUACUGCUUCUAAAUGAGACCAACAUUCUAGACUCUUGAAUUUCAACUCAUUUUUUUUUAGUUUUAUGUAUUUAGAAAUAUAAUCAUGAUAACAUAUUCACUUAACUAUCUCUUAUACAAAACAUCUUAAGGGAUAAACUAGAGAAAACAAAAACCAUCUCUAAUUGGUUGCAAAUCUCAUCAAAAGUGAAGCAAUAAUUCAACUUUUGAUUAAUCAGAGAUCAAAAUCUACAUGAUGUUGAUGGAUAUUGCUGAGAGUAACACUGUGAGAUCACUAAAUCCACAUGAUGUUGCUGGACAUUGCUGAGAGUAGCAGUGUGAGAUCACUAGACUUGGAGCUCGGAAGUUCCCAAUUGAAAUUUUUAGAAAAUAUUUUUUGUGGCCAAUGGUGCGGGUUUCCGCUAGUAUUAAUACAAAUGAAUACAUACACAGGCAUGUGUGUGUGUGGACACACCGCCAGUUACCCCCAUUUCCGUGCUAUGAAGAGCCGGAACCCGCGACUGGUUUCGAAGUUGUCUAUUUCAGUUUCUCUAGCAACAGUGAAACUUAAUUCCGCAAUUAGGGUUUCUGCUUCACACACUGCGCGCUCGACUUUGAUCGAGGGUGAGACUCGUAGUUGCGUUUGGGGGGUCUGAGAUUGACAAAACAGAGCUGCGUGCGUGAGAAGGAAUCAUGAACCCGUUGACGCAAGUGAAGAACACGCAGAAGAUCACCGCGAGGGAGCAAGCAAUUGGCAUAAGCGACGAGGGAUCCUGGCAUGCCAAGUACAAGGAUUCUGCGUACAUCUACGUGGGUGGGCUCUCUUUUGGUCUCACCGAGGGUGAUGUUCUCGCGGUCUUUGCCCAGUGAGUGUUCUCUUCCGACCCAUGUUGUUGCUCGGUUCAGGACAAUGUGGUUUAGGUCGCGUUUUGAGUGAGGUGUAGUUUGGGAAAUUUGGAGUUUCUGCGGCUUGGCUGUGCAUUUGGGAAGUACGUCCCAAACCUUUUGAAAAUAGCGUACUCGACAGCGUUUACUGGUGCAGAAUUUGGGUGGUUUGAUUAUUCGAUGCUCCUGUUUGUUACAUGUGCCUUUGCAGUAGAUUACCUUCGGGCGUUAAAAGAAAUUGACGUGAAUGUACUGGCAUCGUCUUCUGGUAGCGAUCGCGCAGAAUCGAAGGUCGUGCACAUCACUGAUGUUACAUCUCGAAGGGUGUCUGUAGCCUUGUGAGUGCGUUAAGUGGCAGAGCACUAAAGAAGAUGGCCAUUUUAUAUCCUGUACGUGGAAAUGGAUUAGUUGCGGGAAGAUGUGAAGCAAGUGGUAUAAUCUUGUAUUCUGUGGGAUACUGUUCAGGUAUGGGGAGGUUGUGGAUGUGAACCUUGUGAGGGACAAAGCGACUGGAAAGUCAAAAGGCUUUGCAUUCUUAGCGUAUGAAGAUCAGCGGAGCACUGUGCUGGCAGUGGGUUAGUAAAUUUGUGAUCUCUUACGUUUAUUUUUCCUAGACGUUGCGUGUUACAUAUCCUGGCUUUUCCGGGAACGGGAACAUUCUAUGUCUUCGAAUGAAUGUCAGGGUUUUGCCAACACUUUGUUCCAGCGAAUGGGAUUUCGGCAGUGCGUUUAAGUACCCACCAUUUUUUGAGAAGUGCUUUGUGAACACCGAUAGUAAGGGGCCCUCGGGUCCUGAACGAUUUUAUUAUUAUUAUUAUUUUGUUGCUGUUGUUGUUGUAAUUCUUGUACGAUGUUGGAGGAUGAUUGCAGAUAACUUGAAUGGAGCUCGAGUGGAUUCUCGCAUCAUUAAAGUGGAUCAUGUGAGUGACUAUAAGAGGAAGCUAGAAGAAGACGAGGAGGAGAAACAGCGGAAGCGAGAGGAACGAGGAGUGUGCUAUGCUUUUCAGCGCGGGGAAUGCAAACGCGGAGAUGAUUGCAAGUUUUCACACGAUGAGCAGGUUUAUUACACCCAACAAUCCGAUGCACACUUUUGCUAUUAUAACCCAUGUUUCCAGAGAAGUAUAGUUGAGUUAUAGUCGUCUUAUCCGGGUGCUGUUACGUGCCUGUAAGUGACACGUGCUUCUUCUUGCAGAGGAAUUCGAACACUGGUUGGGGAGAAGGUGGCAGUCGGAAAGAUGGCGGCAGUUGGAAACAUGAUCAGUUUGACGGGUCUAUGAAAGAAGCAGGGAGGAGGAUACAAAUGCUUUCAACAAAACGGAACGAUGAUGGCAUGAAUGAAAGAGAGGAUAAGCCUCGAGGCGUAUGUUAUGCUUUUCAACGUGGGGAAUGCAACCGUGGGGAUGGUUGUAAAUUCGCACAUGACGAACAGGUUUGUUUUCUGCCACUUUGGAUGUAGUGCUUCUCUUGUUGAUGCAGGAAUUAAAGGUUGGUAGGGCCAUGUGCGAAGAGCUACCACGUUUCUCUUGUUUUGAAAUGUAGGGCUGUUCUUCUGAGGUGGAAGUUGAGUAUGUGGUACCAAGAUGACAAGCAGAAAAUAACACCAAAAGCUAUGUCCUAUUUUGACUAAAUGAAGUAUAGUUUUUCUAGCUACUUGGUCAUUUUUACUUUUUGUAUUUAGCUUGUCUUUUUUAUGCAUCUUGGUAUUAUGGGGCUCUUGUAUAAGUAAAUCCAGUAUUUGAAAUUGAGAAGUGGUUCUUUUCACAGAGAAAUGGCAAUACUGGUCGAGGAGGUUCAGGUGCAGGCUCGAAACAUGAUCAAUUUGAUGGGUCAAUGAAAGAAGCUAUCAGGAGAUCGAACUUAGCCUCGACUAAGCGUAGUUCUAGUCCAGAAAGGACUGGUCGAGAGAAAGAGAAGUUAAUGAAGCCUCCAGAUGACAGGAGAGGAAGAGAUGGCGCGCACAGAAGUAAAGAUUCUGAUCGAGGGGAGCAAAGAAGAGAUGAUGGAUCCAGAAGAAGAGACAACGAUCGAGAGGAUCGAGGUCGAGACCAAGAUCCGAAAGAAUUGGAUAGAAGAGGCAGAAGGGAUGAUGCCGACAGGGAUGGAAGGGAUCGUAGGGAUGAUAGAAGGAAUGCUCUCAGAGACUGGGAUGAUGAGAGUAGGGAUAGAAGCAGGGACGUCAAAAAGGAUAGGGAAAGAAUUGAUCGAGGAGACGACGGGAGAGAUGAACGCGCUGUAAGAUUACGGAGAUAACAAUGAUUUCAAGAGACUGCUCAACCUGUAUAGUGGCGAUUUUGUGAAUUUUGAAGUGUCAGGCGCUGUUAGAGCUUCCAUGCGAGUGUCCUCUGUGUUGCUGCUUAUUUUUGUGAGGUAGGAGUUUGAACUUUAUCUCCCGCAAGUCUUAUUUGAAAAGGUAAUCCUUGUACCCUGGUUAGAACUGUAAGAACUUAAAGUUUUUGGUUGUUUUGAUUCUAUUUGGAUAAUGCAUUUCUUCUUCUUUUGAAUUUUUAUUCAAUAGCCAUGUUUGAUUUCUAUAUUUUAAGUUCCAAGUCUGGGUAUGCCUUACAUCAGACUUAACCUUUGAUUCUUUAAAACUUUCUGUUAUGUUUGGGAAUGCUUCAUACCGAUCUGUGCAACAAAUGUACAAUUUCAAGCAUAAACUUGAUUUUCAACCUACUGAAAACAUCUGAAAACGAACCAUCUAUUUUACUAUCCUGUGGUGAUGAAGUGGUGACGAAGGAGAGCAAAUGCUAAGUGAUCAAUGAGAUUGAUUACUGAGGAAUUGUACAAAAUGUGUCCUCACCAAAGUCACUUUGCAACAUGGCAUUUGCAAGCUGCAAGGGUACAAUGGAGAGUGAUGAUGGUUGGUGUUUAAGUCACUAGCUUUUACUAAACUUUAAAGACAGUAAUCAAAACAAGAGGAAAAAAUAGGCAAAAUUUGCAACAUGUUUUCAAUAUUCUCAAAGACAAAAGUCAUCUUUUAACCUCUAUUCAAGACUAUCAAUUAAACAAAAGUCAUCAAAUUCAAAGUCUUGUAAAUUCAAUCCUAUUGAUAUAAGAUUAUUUCACAUGCUCUUUUUAAUGUGAAGAGUUGCAUUGCCUACCCUCUACUAUUUCACUAAAUCAAUGCCUUUAUUAUUUAGGUACAAGAAUAGUGUGUGAAAUAUUAUAUUAUAAUACGUGUAUGAAUAUUAGUUUAAGAGAAUUACUUAGGCAAGGUUAAAUUAAUGUAAGUAGUGGAUGGAGGGGGGGGGGUUUGAAGAAGAUAUGUUGGCAAGAAGAAGACAACAACAAACUAUAACAUUUCAGGACUCUGCAUAAAUAAUAAUAACUCAUGUGUUUUAUAAAAUUUAUAUCCACUAAGGUUAUUAAUUAGAUGAGGUACCAUUGUAUAUGGCAUUAAAUUAGAAACAACCUUUUGUAAAAAUUAUUUAGGUACAAGUAACAUAAAGAAGCAAAUAGACUUAUGAUAACGUUAAAAGAAAUUUUAAAUUUAAAUUUAAGUUAAAUAUACUUUAUAAUAUAUAUAAAGUCUAAAUUGCAUUUAUAUAUAUUUCUAUGGCUUCUAAUAAUUUCAAGCUAGUUUAUAUAAUGAAUUCAUUUUGAUUAGGAUUUCUUUUAAAUAAGAUUUUUUUUUCAAUUACAAAUGUAUUCCACUUAAUUUAGAACCUUGGUGGAUAGAAAAAAUACAAUUUAUGCAAGGUUUUAUAAUUUAUGUGGGAUUGUGAAAUUUCAUAGUUCUCAUGCAAUUUGAGCAAUAAACAAGCAUAUGGCAAUAUAUGGUAUAGAAGUUAUAUAUUGAGUUUAAAUCACAAAGAGGAUCUCUUUACAUAAGAUGGCUAAUUGUUUGCAAUAAUAUCAUGUAAAGGUAUCAAAGCUUUUAAGAUCUUGACAAUCACAAAUAUGUCGUUAAAAUGUUUCUAAGAUGGAGUAAAUAACUAAAUCAUGUAGACUACCAAUUAUGCAUCUAUAUUUCUUGUGUAGUAUUGAACCACGUAAGUCGAAUUUUAAAAUUAAAAACUGUAAGCUCAAUUAAGAAAAAAAUCCAAGUCUUCAUUAUAAUACCAAUUCUCAACUACACAAUUAUCUGUAAGUAAAUUAAUUAACAUUAGACUAACACCAAUUCAAUUAUAUAAUAGAACUUAUAGUAAUACACAUAAAAUUGCUACAUCUAAACAAGUAACAGCUCUCACUUUGACAACAUGUUUCGAAGUAUGAAAAUAAUGUUUGAGAUUCAAUGACAUGUGCAUAUACUUGCGUCUCAUAGUAUCUGUAUACACAUCCAUUAUAUUUUUCUUUUCCAGUAUUACUUAAAUUACUUUGCCUCCGAAGAUUCCCACUUUGAAAAAACGUGCCAAUCAUUCAUGUGAAAACACGUUUGAAAGAAACAUAAAUACAUACUACUGAAUUGAAAGACCCUAUCAUUCAUUGUGAUUUUUGCUUGCAACUCCAAUCAAGCAAAUACCGGAUGAUAUUUUCUUUUGAAUUAAAAUUGAAAUCCAUUAAAUCCUAGUGAUUUUUAUGUACCAAAAUAUUCCAACGUAUGGAUGAUUUCCUUUUUAAGGUGGAUAAUUCUGAUAUUGUUAUCAAACUUCUGUGAAAAUUGUAACAAUCUUUUGUUAAUUUUUGGUUGUAAGGUUUCACUAUAUUUUCUACUUAACUAAAGGUUAUAACUUAUCCCCAAUUCACUAUUCCUACCUCAUCAUGUGCAAUCUCCACCUCCAUUCGUUUCAAUGCAAAAUCACAAGCAUGGGAUUGUUCAAAUUCUUUACCCCACAAGCAAUUUAUCUUUGAACGUCUCUGAACAGGAGGAUCGUGGCUGGUGGCUGAGAAAGGCCAGGUUUCGCCCCGGCAACUGAUUCCGGUACCCCGCUCAAAAGAGGUCGCUGAAAAAACUAAUUGCUGAAUAACAGUGACUAUUGCCACAUCAAAUUUUCAAAAUAAAGUCUUCCUGAAGGGGCGAUUUUAAUUUAGGUGAAAACUAGGUGUUUUACGAUUGCUGCUGCAGUUUUCCCCACCUCAGCAAACUUCGAGAAGUAUGAACUCUGAUGUGAGUGCACAAUGCCGAUAAUACCACACUUCAUGAUACUGAACUAACGAUAAACCAUACUAAAACGUUCACAACGUCCUAAUUUCAUACUCUCUGUACCUUUGAUAGACCCAAUUCUCUCGUAAAUUCUAUGUACACUACGUGUAAGAUUCCACGGUGUAUCCCAAAAUUGACCAUAAUUAUAUGGUGUAUCACUCUGCACGUACAACAGUUCCAGCUGCAUACGCGAUAGGCUAACAGGAUUACACUCUUGGUAUAAAGGUCUCUACACUAAGCUACCUACACUUUAUCCGGGUAUUUUAUGAAGAAAGCUGGUGACGCACUCACGUUACAUAGUGUCACUUGCUUUUAAGUGCAACAGCGAAGGACGUCAUUGACUAAACUCUGCUACACAAUCUUACGAGUUCAAGUGAAUGUGAUCAUGCGAAAGUCUAACGAAAAACAACAGCCCAUGCUGCUGAUAAGAUUUUAUAAAAGUUCUAAGAUUGAUCGCACAUGUAAUGUCCAUUCUCCAUUUGAAGUCGCAUGAAACCUGACAGAUUCAUCAUUGAAUUGGUGCAGAGACUUUCCAGGUUGGUCGUGGGCGACAGUACGACUCAUGCGUCGUCCAUUUGCUCGUCCUCGGUCGUCUCGGAUUCGUCGUUAUUACAGUCAAUCCGAAGAUCCGCUAACAACUCCUCCAGCUGAACGGAUGGAGGCUCGUCACCAUCUCCAUCUAUCAUAGCCGCAGUUUCAGAUUGUGGCCUAUAGUUGACAUCCCCGUACAAUGCAAUCAUAGCGUGCAUCUCCAGGUCCUCUUUGAUUUCUUCUAAAAUCCUUUCAUAAACAUUGGAUACAUUCUCCCGGUCUUGCCUAAUAGCACUGGGAUCGAUCUCCAUGUCUAGUGCUUUGAGCUUCCAUGGCCUUGGCUUUCCACGUCUCCUCGUCCGCUUCUCCUCAUACCUCUUCUUUACAAGCACUACAUUUGGAAGUGAUAAAUUGCGAUACUUCUCUAAUUCUGGAUCAUUGGUAUUAGCUGAAUAAACAUUGCAACCCCAAGGCAAAGUCUCCUACGUUCAAAAGUGAUAUUGUAUUUCCCAGAAUCGGACUUCCUCGCAACCUGCACGUCUGCCAAUACGUACUUCCCAGCACGAGUGGACGCACUUGGAUCUAUCUCAAUAUCUAAAAUUGUGUACUCUACAAGUUGCCUGGCAUGUAGAAGAGGCCUAAAUCCUAAUGAAAAUCCAGUCCUCCAGUAUUGAUUGGCAUCUGUAUACGCAGUCCGCAAAGUCUGGGGAUCCAGCAGCAACAAACUGUUUGAGACCUGCGUGCAUAGAACCAAAGGAUCAAUGUUGCCAAGACUUGCCGCCACCUUCUCAGGGAAACAUAUAAGGCCGUCCUUGCACGCUGGACAAAUCUCCACGGACAUGGUGAACCUAUAGUUGUACGUAUUAGAUUUUGAAUCUUGUGGAACUAGGUGCUUGUCGUACUCCUAAUAGGAACAACGUUUGAUAAGAAAUCUAGAAUAUUCAAGCCAUGACUUGUUUGCAAAGUGAAAAUCCAUCCCGUCAUGGAUCUGCUUGAUGUUAACUGCAGCUGCGGCAGACCCGUGUUUAAUUAUAAGCUGCUCUUGAAAAAAGAAGGUUCUCUUAUGCUUGACCUUCUGCUUCACUUGCACAAAGGCGAUCCAUUGGUCGGGGUUCGCCGCCACGCGUGAACACUUCUCGCACAUAUGAUCCUCCACUCUUUGGUCCACCACGUAAGCUUGCUCCAGGAUUGCGCCAUUGAUGACCUCUUUCUAAAUUUUCAGCCUCACCUUGAACCGUUACGAUUGAGGCUCGGUCCAUACAAGCCCCGCGUCCACCAGCCAGACCCUGUUAAUGUUCUGCAACCGUUAGAUGCAAAAUGCGAACGGCUCCUUCGACUCGAGCUCCGCCUUCACCCAAGUCCGGGGCGGCUGAAGGAAUUGACCGCACUCACGGAAAUACAGCACAGUAGCCAGCUUCUGCAAACCGUCUGUGAUGUCAACUUGACAACGCAAUAAAGUAACGCAAAUAUUGGAGGCCUUCCGCGGCAAAGUCACCCCGCAUAUGCAACAUAGCACCCGCCCCACUGUGUGAGGCACGGUAAACAUAUCGGCCGCCAUAGCCGCAACAAAAUGACCGCCCAGUUCAAUUGAUCGAGGAACGCAAGCCAAAGCACUGAAACCAAACCCCGCAUAACAUGGUCACCGGAACUCGAGAAGUCCGCGGUCAUAGAGCAAGUGGUUUAUAACCGUUUUCUGUGUGUAAUGAACAGUUUCAUACAUAAUAUCUACUGUCCUGUGGACCUCACUCGAAGCCUCGAAUUGUGCAUUAGAAAAUUUUUGGACUUCUCUAAAUUUUUGGACCGUGAUUUGGAAAUAAUUCCAAUUUUAAAGCUUGUCUCAUGUUUUCUCUAUUUUAAGAUUAUUUCCUACCGGUCUUAUUAUCAUAAUUAUUUAGAGGGCAACAUUUUAUUGAAGUAUAAAUAAUUUGCAAUUAAAUUUAGAUAAAUUAUUCUUUAUGUAUCUUUGUGGUAUUUUUUGGAAUAUUUAUUAACAUUAUUAUAUUCUCUUCAAGAUUCUAUUUUUAAAUAACAAUAUUAAUGAUAUGUAUGAAUAUAUAUAUAUAUAUAUAUAGGGGAAUGAUAAAGCAACCCAAAUUUUUAUUGAAGCAACCCACUCUAUCUUAAGCAUCAUUCCAUCCUUGGAGCCUCCAUCCCUAUUCCCAACUGUUCCCAUUCCCAACCAUUGCAAGGGAUAGGGACAAGGGGUUGGAAAUGUAAGGAAUGGGGGUGAUGGUUGGGAACAAGGAAAUGGGGCAUGUGAGUUGAUAUAGUAAAAAUUGGGGUUGUUUUAUCAUUUUCAUAUAUAUAUAUAUAUAUAUAUAUAUAUAUACAGGGAAGUAGAUACAAAAACAAUAUAGCAAGUCAAAAUACAAUUUUUAUAAUAUAAUAAUUAAAAAUACUAAUUAUUAUACAACAAUGUAUAUCUAUAUAUGUACAUAUACUAAAUUUAUUAUAUAAAAUUAUAGUAUGUCACAAUCAAGUUGCUAAAAUAAUUUUUAAUCAUUUUUAUAAUCAUAUAUAAAAUAAAUUAAAAAAGGUUUUUAUUGCUACUUCAAUGAUCCUUCCUAAUCAAUUUAAACUUCAUGAAAUAAUAUAUUAUGACUGUAUAAAAUCAAAAACUGAGUAGACUAUAUUAAAUGAGGUUACAAUAGUAAGAACUUCUUCAAAACUUCAAUUGGAUUUGAUUUGGCACUUAGAUGUUUAACCAAACUAAUAAUAUAAACAUAUAAAAAAAAAUACAAAAUCAAAUCAAAUACAGUUGAAUGUAUUCAUAUUACUAGAAGAACAAUUAUUGAAAACAAAUAUUAUUUGUAGUGAAAAGACUUUCGACUGACUUCCGGUUUGUGUUUCCAAUAAACUAAAUUCUAACUCAAUAAAAAUUAUUCAGUCACUAGUCACACACAACUAAAACUGCGAAACAAUUCUUAGAAACUGGAAAUUAAAGUAUAAUCAUAAGAAGUAAUACAAUUUUUUUUUUUUUUUUUUUUUUUUUUUUAACAGUAUUUGUGAUAAUAACUGUAUUAGCUUCACAUGUAAAAAUAUGUAGUAUAAGUUUCACACUGUGCGCAGAACCAACUUGAAUCGAGGUAAAUAUUUCAAUCCAAGUCAGAAACUGCGAAUGCUGGCAUUCUUAGUGAACUACACGGCUCUUAAAUUCGUCCCUCUAUGCCAAGACAUGCGUACGGAAAUCCGAAUCCUUAAGGAGCGUUGGCGUUUCUGCGCAGAUGAAGAGUGUGAGGAGCAGCACGAGGUAAUACAGACCAGAAACAGGAGACAGAACUGAGCCGAACAAGAGCAUGAUGGGCAGGUUUGCAUGAGGAGCAAUAUUCCGCACCACAUGAAACAACGUGAGUGGAACAGCGCAAGAUCAUCAGAAGCCAGACAAUUAAAAAGCACAGUAAAAGAACCAUCGACGAAUCUGGAUCACAAAGUAAACGAGAAAAACGUUCAAAAUCAAAAAACUAAUCGCAAACGAGAGCAAAGCAAAAAAGGAAAGAGUCUUAAAAAAAAAACACAUCACCACCACUAAAGAACAACUGGACGCCCCGAAACAAUCGAUUGGUAAAAACCAGCCCACUUCAGAGGAAAGUUAAAUGCACAUUCUCAGACACGCCCAAAACUGCACCUCUAAGAGAAUUCAAGGUUGGCGCGGAAAACGUUGGUUAUUUUAGACCAGCCAACUCGAUUUGGUAGAUCACGAGGAUGAUUAGCCACGUGUACAUUCAUUCAUCCUGAGGACACCCACGGUGCGGGCAACGGAGUGACCUGUCAGUGCUGGGUGGGUGGCGCGGGGGGGGGGGGGGGAAGAGGUCUGGAGAGGAGGGGGAGUGGAAAAGGGGCGAGGUGGGGUUGGUCUUCCCGGCGUGUUUCACGGUGUUCGGGGGAAUGAUGGAUUUGGUUCCAGAUCGCAGUCGCCUCUCUUGCUUUGAGGAGAGUGCCGGGUCGGGUCGGUGUUCGGGGCCACGCUGGGGUCCGGGUCUGGCUGCUCGUGCCCCGAUUUUGUCCUGGUUUGAAUUGUUUUCCCUCUUUUGGUUUCUCCGCUUGCUUCCCUUGUGUCUGUAAAGAAUUGCGUGGAGGGCCUGGCAGACCAUUGCAAUUUUUGAUGUUUCUGUGUCUCGAGGAGGGGGUUGCGGUGCUGCGGUUUGAUCUGGUGCGCUCAGUGCGCCCCGAGUCUGCUAAAGGAGGAGGAGGAGGUAGGCGGAAGGAGUUGGUGCCGUGCGGAGGGGAUCCUGAAACGGGGAUGCACUAGGAAUGACAGGGUAUCAUGCUGAGGGCGUCUGGCCGAUACGGGCGUAGGUAGUUUCACGGGCGAAGCUGCUGGAGGAGGUCGCUGAGCAUAGGGCGCGCCUUGGGUUGGUUGCAGUUGUUGCGAGUGGGGUUGAGGGUUCUCCGUUUACGGGGUGAAGAGCAGGGCAGGUCGCAGCGGGAGGGCUCGGACGCGGGGCGCGAUGGAGGGUCUGGGCAAGGGCUACGAUGCGUUUGUGGAACGGCUGCAGUCGGAAUUUGGUGCGACGAGCGUGGGCAAGGGGUCUGGGAGCUCUUCCACGAGCAAUAUUGCCGCGCACCCUCCGCAUCCUUCCCAGUCUCAGCUCCACCAGUCGCGCUAUGUCGGGUAUCCGUCGACCUCUCACCCGUUCACGGUGAAGAGGGAGACGUCUCCGUCCGUGUCGGAGACGUCGAUGAGAUCGCGAGAGUCUUAUUCGCUGGAGGUGAACAUGCAAGACGCUGUGACCUCGGCCAGUCCUGCAAGCAUUUCGGGGUCGGGGCAGCCCCCGCGGAUGCCCAGCCCGGGGCACAAUUUUAGCACAGAUGUGAACCAGAUGCCGGACACUCCUCCCCGACGAAGAGGGCACCGCCGUGCGCAGUCGGAAAUCGCAUUCCGGCUUCCAGACGAUGCGUCCUUCGAGAGCGAGCUGGGCGUGCACGGAUCCGAAAUGCCGACACUUUCUGACGAUGGCGCGGAGGAUCUGUUUUCGAUGUACAUUGACAUGGAGCAGAUAAACAACAUGAGUGGGACAUCGGGGCAAGCGGGUGCGAAAGCGGGUGGUGAAGGGAGCAAUGCACCCGCUCCCUCCGCCCAUCAUGCGAGGAGUUUGUCCGCGGAUGGGAGUCUGGGGAACUUGGCGGGCAACAGGACGGGCGUGGGCGUGGGCGGGGGCGGGGGCAACAAUUCGGCGCCAUCGGAGGCUCGAAGGCCGCGGCACGGGCACAGCAGCUCGAUGGACGGAUCGACUUCUUUCAGGCACGAUCUGUUGUCGGGCGAUUUCGAGGGGGAUACGAAGAAAGUGAUGGCGUCUGCAAAGCUUUCGGAGAUAGCGCUGAUUGAUCCCAAGCGCGCGAAGAGGUGAGAUUCCAAUGAGCCGUCUUCCUGUGUCGGUUACAGCACGGGUGAGGGAGGGGAGGGAUGUUUGUGACGAGCCAUGGGUAUGGCAGUGACGCGAAGGGCAGCUGCAGAGGAGCGGGGACGGAAGCGUGGAUUGGAAUGCGCGGCAUGAUUGAGUGUUAGUACGUUUGCCCGUGUUCAGACAUUGUCCCCGUGGUGUGCCUGGACGGGGUUUCGUUUCUGUGGUGCAAUUUGGUGCCGUGAUUCCGCAUGGGAGGGGAUGUAAUUCUUGGUAGGCAGCGGGCGCAAGUGGGGUCCGAGCUCAGUGAGACGGGGUGCAGUCUGUGGGUGGUCAGGACUGCAGUGGCUACAGUAGCAUGCGUGGAUGUUGGUGAGAGCGGGGUGUUGUUAUUCGGUUGUGUGGUGUGAGGCCGAGUGGGGAAGUUGAGGGACGAGCUGAGUAGUGGAUCAGGGUUGUGGCUCGGUCGUCUGACAUGAAGUACGUUACGGUUCAGGAUUUUGGCGAAUCGGCAAUCGGCAGCACGUUCCAAGGAACGGAAGAUGCGUUACAUCUCAGAACUUGAGCGCAAGGUGCAGGGUUUGCAGACGGAAGCCACAACGCUUUCCACGCAGCUCGCAAUGUUGCAGGUUUGUGUGCGAAAUCGUGGACUUGUGUAGACGUGUUGGUGCUGUCACCGGGCUUCCGGUCGGUGGUUGUUCGUGAGGGGUUUCGGAUAGGUUGUUUUGAUGUUUAGGGGCAUUGCAGCCGCCGGAGCAGCCCCUGACGUGUGAGGCUGAAUCGUGUUCGUGUUGUCUGGUCCAAGAAUGUAAAGCAAAGUGCAUGGCUGUGGUUGCAGAAGGAUACAACGGGGCUGGCAACGGAGAACAACGAGCUGAAGCUGCGGCUGCAGGCUAUGGAGCAACAAGCUCAUCUACGCGACGGUACGUUCCUCCAGCACUCUUUGCGGUGAUUGUUACCGGAUGCUGGCAGGGAGUGUGAGUGACCGCGCACACGGGAAACAGUUGGCGUGGAUGUGUUCAGCAACGCGUGGGUAUGGGUACACCAGAUGUGUUUUUGAGUGGAACGGUUCGAGGUAGAAGCGAGAAGGCGAGGCUUUGUCGUGAGUUGGGAUGAUCAGAAGAGCAAGUCAUUGGACUAGUUGAGCGUGGGUCGAUGCCGCAUCUCCUGGUAACGAACGACUGGGAGCCGUCGGGCAAGGCGGCAGUGCAUAACGCAUUUGAUACAAUCCUUGAGAUAGGUUACGGUGAAAGCGUUUGUGUCGAGGGUCAGGACGUGGUCGUGGACCGCAGAAACUCCAGGAACGGUAGCGUGUCUCGUGGGGCGGUUUGGCUGUGGGCACAAUGGGCGAGUUCGUGUGGGGUUGCUUUGGGUGACAAGUCGCGGCGGGGCGUGGGGCCGUGUUCAGGCGUGUUGUGUGAAGGAGCAGGGUGCGUUGGCGAAGAUGGAGGUGUUGGAAUUGACUGGUCGUUUGUGACGUGCAGCUUUGAACGAAGCAUUGCGAGAGGAGGUCCAGCGGCUGAAGGUAGCAACGGGGCAAAUCAGCAACGGGAGCGUGCAGAAUUUGAGCAUGGGCGGGCAGCAUCUGUUCCAGAUGCAAAACCAAGCGUUCAAUUCGCAACAGUUGCAGCAAGCGCAAUCGGGUCUGAACAACCCCGCGCAGCAGCAGCAGCAGGCUUCGCAGGAGCAGAUGCAUUCCGAGUACAUGCAGCGCGGCGCAUACAAUCUUUCGAGCGGUUUCAUCAAGAACGAGGGACCGAGCAUUGCGGUGAAGCAUGCGAGCAGUGCGUCUUUUGGAUGAGGGGCGCGGUGGAAAGCGAGAGACGAUUUGAAGGGAAGAUAUCUGGAGAAGGCAGGUCGAGGGUGUUAUUCUUGGUCGUCGCAUGAUGUGUUGGCUGCGACACACCUGAGGGGUUCGUUGAUUGGAAUCCUCCCAGAAACGCUGCAAACCGACGGCGUGGAAGGUGAUACUCUGAAGGCGCGGGGAUGAACCUUGCCGAGUGGCUUUGGUCCAGUGGGUUUCGUUGUGCUAGGUGAAGCUUGUGAAGCCGAGGUUACGUCCACAAUGAGGUGAGAGGCAGAGCACGGGCUGACGUUUGCGGGAUGCGAACGACGAGAACGGGGUGGGUUGCGGGCAUCUCUGCCGGUGCAGGGUGCGAUAAUUUGGUGAAGGUCUCGGAGGCGCCAGGGCUGCAUGCUAUUUUUCGGGCCGUAUUGAAUCUGUGACCCACGGAGGUCCUGUUCAGAGAAAGUGGUACUGUAGUGUGGUCAUGAAGGCGUCUUAUACGUUUUUAUCUGUGUCUGUACACAGUUGUGAAGCUGGUUGUGGGUAGCUGUAGAUUGGAAGACAUGAUACAUGGACUAUGUUAUCGAGGGUCCACCUGAAGAGGAUAAUAUAUUCAUUGAUGUUGUGGAUUGACAAGCCGCCUUGUGACGGGACGUCUGAUUCAUGGUGGGGAUGAAGGUCCUGCGAUGGCAGUGCAGGUCGAUUGUUGUUUGCAGAAUGGGAAUGCAUCGGAUCUGGUGGCGGUUACACUUACUUAGCGUGAGGCAGGUGCGGUAAGUGCUUGCAUUGUUUUUUCGGCUGGGGUUGCACUUUACUCGGAAUUCCAUCUCUCUCUCUCUCGUGCACUUAUAUUCGUUCUCAGAUCAGGGCAUCCACCUCGACUAUGUUUUGGUUUGUUUAAAUCGAUGAAUACGAACACGGAUUGAACGAUGUGUUUGCAGUUUAUGAAUGUAUGGUUGUCUUGACGAAAGAACACAAGCAUGGACGAGUACUCUUGUUUUUGACGAAGAUGGUUUCAAAUGAGCUCUGGUCAUUGCAUCAAAUGGGAGUGGCCAGUUUUGUAGGCUUCAGCUCAUCGUGCACAAACUGUUCUCCAGUUUCGAGUGUUGGAUUUCAAUCGUUGACAAAACGUGGAUAAUUAUACACAUCUAAAAAUAGUUUUUCAAAUCUACAAACACAUCGAUAGUAAAUGGCCCUCCAAAUGAAUACAAAAGUAUUCAAAUAGACAAAUUUUUGUUAAUAUGUUUGUUAGCAUUGUUUCCCAGAUUAUCAGUAACAGUUUAGUAGUGGAAGUUUUAGGAUGCUUUUAUUGUACCUAAAUAAAUAUAUGAACACAUGGAUGUCCAUAUAUUUUUUUAAUAAUAUAUGCUAAUAAUUAUUAUAUGGUUGUGUUUUUAAAAUAGUUUUUAUGUCGAUUUUUAAAUUUUUUUUUUGAUAAAUACCUAAAUUAUAUGAAUUUUCUUGAUAGUUUUUUCUUUUUUCCGAAAUAAUGAUUAUUUAUUAUUUUUGCGGUAACUACUUUAUUCAAAAUCAAGUCUUGAAUUACUACCUUUUUAACAAACUUUCAUUUUGUACUGGAAAUCAUAAAUUUACUUAUUUCAAUAUUUGAAUUUGAAUAUUGUUUAAAGAGGUCAUAAUAUAUUUGUUUGAAAUCUAUUUUAUUUAUUGAUAUUAUUUGAAAGAUAUUAUUAUAAAAGUUCAAAUUUUAGAGACAAAUAUUUCAAUAUGAUAUUUAAAGUAAUUCUAAUUGAUAAAUUUACAAUCUAAAAGAAAAAAAAAUGAUGAAUUAUUGAAGAUAUAAUAAAGUUUAAAAUUUUAAAAAUAAAUCAUUAUGAAGAAUUUGAGCAAGCUUUGAAAGUCAUUGAAGGAUUGAAGAUUACUAAGAUGUUUUUAAAAAGCAUAGUGAAGUCAUAGUUUCAAAAAAUUUAAUUUUACUAUGAGAAUCUAGAAUGACAUUGAUAUAGUAGUAGUAGCUAUACUAGUUCUAAUGGUGCUUGUAUUCAUGGCCUCAAAGCAAGUUAGAUGUUACCAAAUUGCUCUUGAAUAGAUUAAGAAAUUGUUUGCCAAAGUGCCUUUAUUUGACACCUUUGUUAUAAUUUGUAAGUUGGCUCUAUUCAUGCAAUCAAGAUCUUUCUUUUUGCAACCAUUCUUUUAUGCCUCUAAAAUAUUGACAUGAACAUUGUGAAAAAUUGCAAGUAAAACUUUGUAAAUAAGCUAUAGCAGUAGUAUAUGCAAGGCUAACGAUUAAUAGUAUUUAUGUCUUCUAAAGAAGAAUUUGAAGCAUAGUAGAGUGCCUUUUUAGAAACUUGGAAUGACAUUUUUUUAGAGCAAUUACAUACAUCAAGAAUACUGUCAUGGACAUACGCAUGUAAGCCAAUAAUUACAUGUGUAAAUAGGUAGAAGUAAGUAAAAAUAGGUAAAAGUAAGUUAAUUCUAUAAUAUUUGCUAUGGAAGCUUUCUAGAAGCUUCAUAGACGAUGCUUUGACUUUAUAAGUGUCUUUAAUUGAUUUUUUGGAUUAGAAAUGUGGUCAACAAGUUGGCCAUGUGCCACACAUGUUGUUAGCUUGAAGAUCAAGCUAACUAUGUGGCCCACACGUAGAAAAACUUGCCUUGUAAGUCAAGGCAUGUAUCUUACAAAGUCAACACAUAUUGGAGGUCCUAUAAAACAUCACCAUGUAGCCCCUAGUUAGAUAAUAUAUAUAGAGAUAAGAGUGAAGCCCUCUUCUCUCUUGUCAACUAUUUUCUUGCUUCUAGUCUAAUUUCAAGGGUCUCUAGUUUUCUUGUCUUUUGGUAAUAGCUAUUCCAAUUUUUUUCUUAAUAUAUAUAUAUAUAUAUAUAUAUAUAUAUAUAUAUAUGUUGAAUUAUUUAUAUUUUGUCAUCUUCCUUUGACAAAAGUCUCACUUUUUUAUUUGUUUUUAUCAAAUUCAUGUCUUUGACAGAUUGACAAGAGUACACUUACAAUAUCAUAGCUUUGUCUAAUCUUGAUUAAAAGUAGAUUACUCCUUUCUCUUGAUAAGACAUAAGUGUAUUAGAAGUUGUGGAUUACCCUCUUCUAAACUGAUAUUGUCCUUAGUAUUUUCUUUGUUCUCAAGUCCUCUCUUCUAUUUGUCUUGAGCGAUAUUAGAUAUCUUCUCUUUUCUAAGUAUUAUCAUGGCAAAACUUGCUAAAAUAAAGAAUGCAAUGGCACAAAUGCAAGAGAAAUUGAGGGAGUUAAUGCUUGCGAUGCAUCAAUUCAAUUUACCACCACAAGGAGCAACAAGAUUGGCAAGAAGUGAAGAUAUAAAAAUGAUUGGAGUUGCUUCAACAUCUGCACCAAAUCAUGUCUCUUCUCCAAUGGUGGAAUGCCCUUCCAGUGUUAGAGAACCAAAAAUUGCCAUAUUCGAGAAGUUUGAUGGCACCAGAUUAAAGUUUAGAGGAUUUAUCAAUCAAGUACAACUUAGAGUUGAACUUCAAACCCAAAGCUAUCCAACUCCAAGAUCGCAAGUUAGAUUCAUUAGUAUGCUUCUUUCAGGUUCAGCAUUAUCAUGGUUUUCAUCUCUUCUUGAAUGACAAGAUCCAAUAUUGGAUAAUUUGGAGGCUUUUUUGGUGGAUUUUUGAUCCAUGUAUGGAGAACAUGAUGCAAUUCGUGUUGCAACCAAGAAUAUUCAUUUUUUGUGACAAGAUAAUCGAUCAAUAAUGUUGUACGCUUCACAGUUUUAACAACUUGUAACUAAUAUUAAGUGGGAUGAUGUUGCACUUGUUAGCCAAUUUUUCUAUAGAUUACAAUAUGAGGUAAAAAAAUUAAUGCUCAACUUAUUUGUUCUUCAAACAUUGAGUCAAGCAAUUGACUUUGCUAUGAAGUGCGACAAUCAUCUUUUUGAAUUCUGAUUUGAGAACAGUACAAGUGGACCUCAACGUUACUAUAAAUCAAUGGCAAUACCAACAUCUCUUCAACACAUACAUUUGGAAUUAGAGGAUAUGCAAAUUGAUGCAAUAUAUUUCAAACUUUCUACUGAGUAAGAAAAGACUCUUUAUCAUCAAGAAGGAUUGUGCUUAUAUUGUAGAGAACCUAAGCACAUUGCUCAACAUUGCCCAAAGAAGCGAUGCAACCAUAAAAUAAGGAGUACGGUGAUCAAAGAAGAUAGCAUGUCGAAAAACGAAUUUGUCUAGCUACAAUAAGGACCGUGCGGCUGGAACCUUGUACAAUGCCUAGUGAAGGUCCUAUUCUCUCCUUAGAACCCUCUCCAUGUUUUAUGAUAAAUGUUAUUCUAGGACCUAAACAUCACAAAGCCUUUGCCUUGCUAGAUUCAGGAGCUUCAACAUGUUUCUUAAAUGAAGAAUUUGCUAAAAGACAUAGCAUACUUUUAGUGAAGAAAACUAAACUUGUUCAUGUAGAAGUCAUAGAUGGUCGUCCAUUGUCUUCAAGAGAUGUUACUUAUAAAACCCUUCCUAUAGAAGUAGCAACUAAUGGUCAUAGUAGCUUUGUAAUAUUUAAUAUCAUUAGAUCUUUCUCUAAUCUAGUCAUUUUAGGUUUAUCAUGGCUAGAAAAAUAUAAUCCUAAAAUAGAUUAGACUUCUCAUAGUCUUGAUUUUUUUGAAAGUAUAACUAAGAGCGUAGUUAAUCAAGUAGAAAGUCAUAAGUCUAAUACAAUUAAAUUUGUAUUUGUAGGUAUAAGAGCUUUCUUGCAUACUGCAAAAGAAUGAUCACCUUGUGUCAUUUAUGCCACACCUGUUUCUACUGGUGGAAAGACUUCAAGUGGCAUUCCAAGCCAAUAUCAAGAUUUUCAAGAUGUAUUUGAGAAGAAAAAUAUGGAUACUCUUUCGGAACAUCGUUCCUAUGAUUGCUCAAUUAACCUUUAAGAAGAAGAUUAAUCGCUAUUUGGACCAAUCUAUAAAUUAUCACAAAAUAAGUUGGCUGAACUCAAAGAGUAUAUUGAAUAGAAUUUGGCCAAGAACUUAUGCCAUUCCAAAACUCCAAUAGGAGCUCUAAUUUUAUUUUUGAAGAAAAAAGAUGGAUCAUUGUAGAUAUGUGUCGAUUAUCGAGGACUCAACAAAAUCACUAUCAAGAACAGGUAUCCACUACCUUUGAUACCGGGACUCUUAAAUGAGUUGAAUCAAGCUAAGAUCUAUAUAAAAAUAGAUCUAUGGGGAGCAUACAAUAUGGUAUGCAUUAAAAAAGGAGAUGAAUGGAAGAUUGCAUUUUGAACAAGGUAUGGACAUUUUGAAUACAACAUCAUGCCUUUUGGACUUACAAAUGCACCAACAACAUUCCAACAUCUAAUGAAUGAUGUCUUUUGGGAGUUUUUAGAUGAUUUUGUUGUCUGUUACCUAGACGACAUCUUAAUCUAUUCUAAGAAUACAUAAGAAUAUGAACUUCAUGUUUAUCAUGUGUUAAAAAAAUUAAGAGAUGUGGGACUCUAUGCCAAGAUAAAAAAGUGUGUAUUUCACACUACUCAAGUCGAUUUCUUAAGAUACAUUAUUUCAAAUGAUGGACUUAUGAUGGAUCCUAAGAAAAUUCAAACUAUUAUUAAUUGAAAAUUCUCAAAAAUGGUAAGAGAUGUCCAACACUUUUUGGGAUUUGCCAACUACUAUCGGAUCUUCAUCAAAGACUUCUCUCAAGUUGGAGUACCACUUACUUGUUUGACUUGUAAAGACAAACUUCAAUGGAAUCAAAAAGUGGAAGUAGCAUUUGAAGCUUUGAAGACAAUCUUUGUUUGUGUAUUAAUCUUGUAUCAUGUCAAUUUUUCUAAGCCAUUUUUUAUGGAAAUAGAUGCAUCAGACUUUGCUUUGGAUGCCGUAUCGUCACAAAUGGGAAUAGAUGAUAAACUUUAUCUAAUAGCUUUUCAUUCCAAAAAAAUUUCAAUAGUCGAGAUCAACUACAAGAUCCAUGACAAAGAACUUCUUGCAAUCAUGGAUUUGUUUCAAGAAUGGCGCUAUUAUCUAAAAAAUACUUCUAAUCCAGUCACCAUGUAUACAGAUCACAAGAACCUUGAGUAUUUUAUAUCAGCACAUAUUUUGAAUUGUUGCCAAACUUGUUGGAAUAUGUCUUUGUCAAGAUUCAAAUUCAAGAUCACUUAUUGAGUAAGAAAACAACAAGGUUUAUCAGAUACACUCUCUAAAUGAUCUUAUCUUGUACCAAAGGAAAGAGAUGCUGCUUUUGAUCAACAACGGAUAAUUCUCUUGAAGCCAAAGCAUCUUCAUCUUUGAGCAAUAAAAUCAAUAUUAACUAUUGAUUCAACCUUUAUUAAGCAAGUUCAAUUAAGUAUAUCUUUUGAUCUUCUUAUUUGUGAUAUUAAAGAAAAUCCUUCAAAGUCUCAUGAUACUUCCAAGUUUGAAUUCAAGAACAAUCUACUAUAUUUUAAGGGAUGCCUAUAUGUUCCAGAAGGUGAAGCUCGAUUACGUGUUCUUCAAGCUCGUCAUGACUUUUCAACAACAGGACAUUUUGGAUAUAAUAAAACUUUGGAACUAAUAUCCAAGGACUUUUGGUGACCCCAAAUUUAGAAAUUAGUCAAAGAUUUUGUGCAAUCUUGUGAUGUUUGCUCGAGAUCAAAAACUCCUCGCUAUCAACUUUAUGGACUUUUUCAGCCAUUAUCCAUUCCAGAACAACCAUGGUCUUCUGUUUCUAUGGAUUUCAUCACGGAUCUUUCAAUCUCAGGUUCUUAUGACUCUAUAUUCAUGAUAGUAGAUCGUUUUACCAAGAUGGCACAUUUUGUACCUUGUACAAAAUCCAUCUUAGGUGAAGAAACAACUAAGCUCUUUCUUGACAAUAUCUAUCGCUAUCAUGGAUUAUCCAAGAAUAUUAUAUCAGAUAAGGCAACUCAAUUUGUAUCAAGAUUUUAGCGGACUCUUUUCAAGAUUCUAAAAGUGGAUAUAUAACUAUCUUCGACAUUCCACCUUCAAACUGAUGGACAAACAGAGCGUAUUAAUUAAGUUUUGGAGCAAUAUUUAAGAUGUACCAUCAACUACCAAUAAGAUGAUUUGAUAACUCUUUUGCCAUUGGCAGAGUUUGCUAAUAAUAAUAUAGUACAUUCUUCUAUAAAACAAAUCCCUUUCUUUGCCAAUUAUGGUUAUCAUCCACGACUUGAUACUUUUGACUUUUUAAAAGUUGAUAAUCCUUCGAUGAAAUAUUUGGCAAUUUAUUUGUGAAAACUACAUGUAAUGAUGAAGGCUUUGUUGAAAGAAAUUCAAGAACAACAAAUGGUCCAUGCGGAUGUCUAUCGAAAGGAACAACCACCAUUUCACGCGAGUGAGAAGAUAUGGUUACUUUGUGGCAAUAUCAAGACCACUCAUCCUUGUGACAAGUUGGACUAUCAAAGGCUUAGAUCAUUUUCUAUUUCUGCACAAAUCAAUACAAUUUCAUAUCAUUUAUACCUACCGAAAUCAAUGAAAAUCCAUUUAGUAUUCUAUGUGUGUCUUCUUAAACCAUAUAAGAUAAUGGAUAUAGCAAGAAGAAGACAAGUUCUACCUCCUCCUAUAGAAGUGGAUAAUAAUAUAGAGUUCGAAGUGAAAGAAGUCCUAGAUUCAAGGCGACACCAAAAUAAAUUAGAAUAACUUGUCUAUUAGCGCGGAUAUGAUAUUAAUGAACGCACAUGAGAGCUAAUAAAGAAUCUUACAAAUGCAUCAAAGACGGUGGAGGCUUUUCAUCGAUGACAUCUAUCAAAAUCAAGAUGAAAAUCUCUUUUAUAAAAGAAAUAAGAUCUAGGAAAGUUAACAUUCUAUUUUCAAUCCUUGUUUAUAGCUUCUUUGUAGUUGUGAUGCUGAGGAGAUGGAGAACCAACAACCAGCAAAUUCAACUCAAGAACCUUUGUUUCUAACUUGCUAGACGAGACAUUACAAUUGUCACAAUCUUCAAGAUAAUGCAAUCAAGAUGAAGAUCUUUAAGAAUGACAUGUUCUUAUUGAAAUAGAUGGCGAGAUACAAUGCAUUUGGUAUCACAACCUUGGAAGGGACUCCCAAUGUUUGGUGAUUUUACUAGAGGUAGGAAUAACUUCUGACAAUGUUCCAAAUGUUUUAUUCGAAAGAAGUUAUAAAGGCCUCAAAAAUGACCAAAUAAUUGGGUGGUCUUCCUACCCUGGUAUGGAAGACUAUCGAUAGUUGAGAGGCCCUAUCAAUCAUCUUCAAAGAAAACAAAGAUCAGAGUAUAAGGUGAAUACAAUUUGUUGCAUUAUAGAUUUCUUUAACAUAUGAUGACCACUCAUCGUGGAACUUGUCCUUACAAGGAGAAGUAAUGUCAUGGACAUAUGCAUGUAAGCCAAUAAUUACAUGUAUAAAUAAGUAGAAGUAGAUAAAAGUAAGUUAAUUCUAUAAUAUUUACUAUAGAAGUUUUUUAAAAGCUUUAUUGAUGCUGCUUUGACUUUAUAGGUAUCUUUAAUUGACUUUUUGGAUUAGAAACGUGGUCAACAAGUUGGCCAUGUGCCACACAUGUUGUUAGCUUGAAGACCAAGGUAACUAUGUCACCCACACGUAGAAAAACUUGCCUUGUAAGUCAAAGCAUGUGUCCUACAAAGUCAACAUAUAUUGGAGGUCCUAUAGAAUAUCAUCACAUAGCCCCUAGUUAGAUAGUAUAUAUAGAGACAAGAAUGAAGCCCUCUUCACUCUUGUCAAGUUCUUUCUUGCUUCUAGUCUAGUUUGAAGGGUCUCUAGUUUUCUUGUCUUUUGGCAAUAGCCAUUCCAGUUUCUUUCUUAAUAUACACAUUGAGUUAUUUCUAUUUUGUCAUCUUUCUUUCAGAAAAGUCUCACUUGUUUAUUUGUUUUUAUCAAGUUCUUGUCCUUGACAAAUACAUAGAUUGCUAUGCAUAAGGAAUUGUUUCUUGUUGCUUAUAUAAAUAUGAUUCAUCACUUUGGUAAUUCUAUAAUCUUUGUAGCAGAUGAUAUGCAUUACAUGGUUAAGCAAUAUCUUGAAUCAAGUUUGACCUACUUGACAUAUGCUAGUCUGCGCAACUUUGUAUUAAGAAUAUUCAUAAGAAAUAUGUGGUGAAAUACUCUUAUAAAAAGAUACACAUCUUGAUAUUUAUCAAUCUAACUCCUUACCAUGAGAUCUUUUUAGAUGUCAAUGGAUUAAACUUUUAGUAUACAUUGAGAAAUAUAUAUAUAUAUAUAUAUAUAUAUAUGAGCAUAUAAAUUUUAAAUUGUAAGUGGUUAAAAAAUAUAAAUAUUAAUACUCAUUAUUUAAUGCAUUCUAGGUUAAACUUGUAUAUUUGCAUGUCAUAGGCAAUAUUGAACCUUAAAUAAGGAUCAUUACUACAACACUUGGUUUGCCAUGCUCACAUGAAAUUUAAACUAUAUUGUAUGAACAACGACACUUUAACCUCAACAACUUUAGUUACUAUUGACACUUACAAAAACCAACAACAAUAUCUUUUCUUUAUAAAAAAAAACUCACUUCUUUGUAAGACAUGCUAGAACAAAUUUUUGCAACCAUCAUUAGCCUUCUUCUACAUUAAUAAAUAUAUGCACUUGUGGAACUCUAAACUAUUUCAUAACAAGAGCUACAACCUAUUGAUAAAUUGUAGAAGAUAUUGACAAGAAAGAGCUUGGUGUAGAAGAAUGAUACAAAAAGAAAUCGAUUUAGAUUUGAUUAUACUUGAUGCAAAGCAUUGACAAUGUCUUACAAUAUAUUUAGUAUUAUUGGACAUUUGCAAAAAAAAAAAAAGGUGGUCACAAUUUAGACAAAUAAUAGUAGGAUUGGAACUUACAAUGGAACUAGAGAGUUGAGGGAGAAAUAUAGGACUUGUAGUGAGUUUAGGAGUUGUGGCUAAAUUAAGAAAUUAGAGAAGAAGUCAAAGAUUUAUGAGGGGACAAGAAAGAAAGAGAAGAGGUCUAAGUCUUAUAUUGAGACAAGAAAGAGGAGAAGUAUAUUUAAGACCUAUAUCACUAUAUUUAAACAAAGAAACUAAUCAAAAGCCUUGUAUGUGUAUAUCAACAUAAUAGAUGUGCAUAUAACAAUUUAGAUAAAAAUUAAUUAGAAAAAAUAUGAAUUACUCAAAAAAUAUGUAUCUAUAUAUUAAAUUACAUAUUUAGGUGCAUUGUUGUGUUAUAACACAACUAUAAGGUGAAAUAGGAAAAUAUGAAUUAUAGUUUAAAAAAAAAAUUGUAAAAGAUAGAAAGACAAGAAAUGCAAUUAGUGUUAAUGAUGAUUUUUUUGUAAAAAAGAGUUCUAUUUAUUUUAUAGGAUUCUAAAUAAGGCAUAUUUAAAUAAAAAAUUUAGCAAAAAUUAAGUUUGAAAACUAGAAAUUAAUAUCUAAAAAGGACUAAUUAUAAACUAGGACAAAAACCAAAUCUUGAGGUACAAAAUUGUGUACCUAUGGCAAUUUUGAGAUUCUUUUGUUGAUCAAAGAGUAGAGCUUGAGAACAAAAUAUAAAAAAAUUCCUCAAGAAUUGAUUUAGGUGAUUUGAAUUUUAAUGACUUUCUAAGAAUUUUACAAAGUCAAGGUUGUUUUGAGGUGACUUUGGUUUUUUUGAAAUAAAAAUGGUUUAUAUUUUGAAAUAUUUUGUGAAAUUUAAAAUAGAUCCAUAAGUAAAAAUUUACAAAUUUUUUAUUAUUUUGAGUUAAACAUGUAUUGUAGGUUUAAGCAUGAUUAAAUAAUUAAAUUAAAAGAUAUUAAAAUUUAAAUGAAUUGAAAUCUUAAAAAUUGGAUACUAGAAGGUUAAUAAUGUUUUUUAAGAUAUUCUAUAAUUUUCCAAUUGGAUUGAAGUGAAUUUUUAUAAAUUAUUAGAAAACUUAAUUAUGAAAAAUUUGAAAGUAAUUGGAUGAUGAAAACAAGAGAUAUUGGUGUUGAAAGAUCAACAUUAGGAUUUGAAAAUAAGUCUAGUUGAUAUCCAAGUAGAUUAUAAGGUUUUUAUUUUAUUUGGUAAAUUUGAUCCUCUUCGAAUUCUUUAUGUGUAUUUUUAAAUAAAAAAUUAAAAAAUAUAAAUUUUUUGAGUCAAAAUCAAUAAUUUAAUUAUUAGUUAUUAAGGUUUUGAAUCUAUAAUAAGAUUUAGUCGGAAUUACUUAGGUUUUCUUUGAUAUUUGAUUAGAAUUUAUUAAGAAUUUAAUAAGGUUUUUUUUUUUUUUUUUUUUUUUUUUUUUAAUUCUAUCAGAUUUUUAUGAUUUUUUAAAAAUUUCUUUAAGAUUUCUAUAGAAUUUUAUUAAGAUUUGAUUAGGAUUGUUAAGAUUCAAUUGAGAUUUAUUUAGGAUUCUAUUUGAGCUUUCACAUUCUUUAUUAUUGAAAAAUUUAAAUUUACCUUCAAUAGCCAAGUGCCUAAUGCAUUCUAUCAAAUAAUAUCAAUAAAUAAAAUAGAUUUCAAACAAAUAUAUUAUGACCUCUUUAAACAAUAUUCAAAUUCAAAUAUUGAAAUAAGUAAAUUUAUGAUUUCCAGUACAAAAUGAAAGUUUGUUAAAAAGGUAGUAAUUCAAGACUUGAUUUUGAAUAAAGUAGUUACCGCAAAAAUAAUAAAUAAUCAUUAUUUCGGAAAAAAGAAAAAACUAUCAAGAAAAUUCAUAUAAUUUAGGUAUUUAUCAAAAAAAAAAUUUAAAAAUCGACAUAAAAACUAUUUUAAAAACACAACCAUAUAAUAAUUAUUAGCAUAUAUUAUUAAAAAAAUAUAUGGACAUCCAUGUGUUCAUAUAUUUAUUUAGGUACAAUAAAAGCAUCCUAAAACUUCCACUACUAAACUGUUACUGAUAAUCUGGGAAACAAUGCUAACAAACAUAUUAACAAAAAUUUGUCUAUUUGAAUACUUUUGUAUUCAUUUGGAGGGCCAUUUACUAUCGAUGUGUUUGUAGAUUUGAAAAACUAUUUUUAGAUGUGUAUAAUUAUCCACGUUUUGUCAACGAUUGAAAUCCAACACUCGAAACUGGAGAACAGUUUGUGCACGAUGAGCUGAAGCCUACAAAACUGGCCACUCCCAUUUGAUGCAAUGACCAGAGCUCAUUUGAAACCAUCUUCGUCAAAAACAAGAGUACUCGUCCAUGCUUGUGUUCUUUCGUCAAGACAACCAUACAUUCAUAAACUGCAAACACAUCGUUCAAUCCGUGUUCGUAUUCAUCGAUUUAAACAAACCAAAACAUAGUCGAGGUGGAUGCCCUGAUCUGAGAACGAAUAUAAGUGCACGAGAGAGAGAGAGAUGGAAUUCCGAGUAAAGUGCAACCCCAGCCGAAAAAACAAUGCAAGCACUUACCGCACCUGCCUCACGCUAAGUAAGUGUAACCGCCACCAGAUCCGAUGCAUUCCCAUUCUGCAAACAACAAUCGACCUGCACUGCCAUCGCAGGACCUUCAUCCCCACCAUGAAUCAGACGUCCCGUCACAAGGCGGCUUGUCAAUCCACAACAUCAAUGAAUAUAUUAUCCUCUUCAGGUGGACCCUCGAUAACAUAGUCCAUGUAUCAUGUCUUCCAAUCUACAGCUACCCACAACCAGCUUCACAACUGUGUACAGACACAGAUAAAAACGUAUAAGACGCCUUCAUGACCACACUACAGUACCACUUUCUCUGAACAGGACCUCCGUGGGUCACAGAUUCAAUACGGCCCGAAAAAUAGCAUGCAGCCCUGGCGCCUCCGAGACCUUCACCAAAUUAUCGCACCCUGCACCGGCAGAGAUGCCCGCAACCCACCCCGUUCUCGUCGUUCGCAUCCCGCAAACGUCAGCCCGUGCUCUGCCUCUCACCUCAUUGUGGACGUAACCUCGGCUUCACAAGCUUCACCUAGCACAACGAAACCCACUGGACCAAAGCCACUCGGCAAGGUUCAUCCCCGCGCCUUCAGAGUAUCACCUUCCACGCCGUCGGUUUGCAGCGUUUCUGGGAGGAUUCCAAUCAACGAACCCCUCAGGUGUGUCGCAGCCAACACAUCAUGCGACGACCAAGAAUAACACCCUCGACCUGCCUUCUCCAGAUAUCUUCCCUUCAAAUCGUCUCUCGCUUUCCACCGCGCCCCUCAUCCAAAAGACGCACUGCUCGCAUGCUUCACCGCAAUGCUCGGUCCCUCGUUCUUGAUGAAACCGCUCGAAAGAUUGUAUGCGCCGCGCUGCAUGUACUCGGAAUGCAUCUGCUCCUGCGAAGCCUGCUGCUGCUGCUGCGCGGGGUUGUUCAGACCCGAUUGCGCUUGCUGCAACUGUUGCGAAUUGAACGCUUGGUUUUGCAUCUGGAACAGAUGCUGCCCGCCCAUGCUCAAAUUCUGCACGCUCCCGUUGCUGAUUUGCCCCGUUGCUACCUUCAGCCGCUGGACCUCCUCUCGCAAUGCUUCGUUCAAAGCUGCACGUCACAAACGACCAGUCAAUUCCAACACCUCCAUCUUCGCCAACGCACCCUGCUCCUUCACACAACACGCCUGAACACGGCCCCACGCCCCGCCGCGACUUGUCACCCAAAGCAACCCCACACGAACUCGCCCAUUGUGCCCACAGCCAAACCGCCCCACGAGACACGCUACCGUUCCUGGAGUUUCUGCGGUCCACGACCACGUCCUGACCCUCGACACAAACGCUUUCACCGUAACCUAUCUCAAGGAUUGUAUCAAAUGCGUUAUGCACUGCCGCCUUGCCCGACGGCUCCCAGUCGUUCGUUACCAGGAGAUGCGGCAUCGACCCACGCUCAACUAGUCCAAUGACUUGCUCUUCUGAUCAUCCCAACUCACGACAAAGCCUCGCCUUCUCGCUUCUACCUCGAACCGUUCCACUCAAAAACACAUCUGGUGUACCCAUACCCACGCGUUGCUGAACACAUCCACGCCAACUGUUUCCCGUGUGCGCGGUCACUCACACUCCCUGCCAGCAUCCGGUAACAAUCACCGCAAAGAGUGCUGGAGGAACGUACCGUCGCGUAGAUGAGCUUGUUGCUCCAUAGCCUGCAGCCGCAGCUUCAGCUCGUUGUUCUCCGUUGCCAGCCCCGUUGUAUCCUUCUGCAACCACAGCCAUGCACUUUGCUUUACAUUCUUGGACCAGACAACACGAACACGAUUCAGCCUCACACGUCAGGGGCUGCUCCGGCGGCUGCAAUGCCCCUAAACAUCAAAACAACCUAUCCGAAACCCCUCACGAACAACCACCGACCGGAAGCCCGGUGACAGCACCAACACGUCUACACAAGUCCACGAUUUCGCACACAAACCUGCAACAUUGCGAGCUGCGUGGAAAGCGUUGUGGCUUCCGUCUGCAAACCCUGCACCUUGCGCUCAAGUUCUGAGAUGUAACGCAUCUUCCGUUCCUUGGAACGUGCUGCCGAUUGCCGAUUCGCCAAAAUCCUGAACCGUAACGUACUUCAUGUCAGACGACCGAGCCACAACCCUGAUCCACUACUCAGCUCGUCCCUCAACUUCCCCACUCGGCCUCACACCACACAACCGAAUAACAACACCCCGCUCUCACCAACAUCCACGCAUGCUACUGUAGCCACUGCAGUCCUGACCACCCACAGACUGCACCCCGUCUCACUGAGCUCGGACCCCACUUGCGCCCGCUGCCUACCAAGAAUUACAUCCCCUCCCAUGCGGAAUCACGGCACCAAAUUGCACCACAGAAACGAAACCCCGUCCAGGCACACCACGGGGACAAUGUCUGAACACGGGCAAACGUACUAACACUCAAUCAUGCCGCGCAUUCCAAUCCACGCUUCCGUCCCCGCUCCUCUGCAGCUGCCCUUCGCGUCACUGCCAUACCCAUGGCUCGUCACAAACAUCCCUCCCCUCCCUCACCCGUGCUGUAACCGACACAGGAAGACGGCUCAUUGGAAUCUCACCUCUUCGCGCGCUUGGGAUCAAUCAGCGCUAUCUCCGAAAGCUUUGCAGACGCCAUCACUUUCUUCGUAUCCCCCUCGAAAUCGCCCGACAACAGAUCGUGCCUGAAAGAAGUCGAUCCGUCCAUCGAGCUGCUGUGCCCGUGCCGCGGCCUUCGAGCCUCCGAUGGCGCCGAAUUGUUGCCCCCGCCCCCGCCCACGCCCACGCCCGUCCUGUUGCCCGCCAAGUUCCCCAGACUCCCAUCCGCGGACAAACUCCUCGCAUGAUGGGCGGAGGGAGCGGGUGCAUUGCUCCCUUCACCACCCGCUUUCGCACCCGCUUGCCCCGAUGUCCCACUCAUGUUGUUUAUCUGCUCCAUGUCAAUGUACAUCGAAAACAGAUCCUCCGCGCCAUCGUCAGAAAGUGUCGGCAUUUCGGAUCCGUGCACGCCCAGCUCGCUCUCGAAGGACGCAUCGUCUGGAAGCCGGAAUGCGAUUUCCGACUGCGCACGGCGGUGCCCUCUUCGUCGGGGAGGAGUGUCCGGCAUCUGGUUCACAUCUGUGCUAAAAUUGUGCCCCGGGCUGGGCAUCCGCGGGGGCUGCCCCGACCCCGAAAUGCUUGCAGGACUGGCCGAGGUCACAGCGUCUUGCAUGUUCACCUCCAGCGAAUAAGACUCUCGCGAUCUCAUCGACGUCUCCGACACGGACGGAGACGUCUCCCUCUUCACCGUGAACGGGUGAGAGGUCGACGGAUACCCGACAUAGCGCGACUGGUGGAGCUGAGACUGGGAAGGAUGCGGAGGGUGCGCGGCAAUAUUGCUCGUGGAAGAGCUCCCAGACCCCUUGCCCACGCUCGUCGCACCAAAUUCCGACUGCAGCCGUUCCACAAACGCAUCGUAGCCCUUGCCCAGACCCUCCAUCGCGCCCCGCGUCCGAGCCCUCCCGCUGCGACCUGCCCUGCUCUUCACCCCGUAAACGGAGAACCCUCAACCCCACUCGCAACAACUGCAACCAACCCAAGGCGCGCCCUAUGCUCAGCGACCUCCUCCAGCAGCUUCGCCCGUGAAACUACCUACGCCCGUAUCGGCCAGACGCCCUCAGCAUGAUACCCUGUCAUUCCUAGUGCAUCCCCGUUUCAGGAUCCCCUCCGCACGGCACCAACUCCUUCCGCCUACCUCCUCCUCCUCCUUUAGCAGACUCGGGGCGCACUGAGCGCACCAGAUCAAACCGCAGCACCGCAACCCCCUCCUCGAGACACAGAAACAUCAAAAAUUGCAAUGGUCUGCCAGGCCCUCCACGCAAUUCUUUACAGACACAAGGGAAGCAAGCGGAGAAACCAAAAGAGGGAAAACAAUUCAAACCAGGACAAAAUCGGGGCACGAGCAGCCAGACCCGGACCCCAGCGUGGCCCCGAACACCGACCCGACCCGGCACUCUCCUCAAAGCAAGAGAGGCGACUGCGAUCUGGAACCAAAUCCAUCAUUCCCCCGAACACCGUGAAACACGCCGGGAAGACCAACCCCACCUCGCCCCUUUUCCACUCCCCCUCCUCUCCAGACCUCUUCCCCCCCCCCCCCCCCCCCGCGCCACCCACCCUCUACUGAAUACUGAUGACCAAGAGUACAAUUUUGCCUUAUUGAUUCUUAUUAACCGUGAGUAACAUCAUUUGUUGGGGGACACCAACUUGCACUUUUUAGGGUCGUAUACAAGCCUGAUUUCAUUUCUGUAAAUUCUCAUAAUCAUGAUUAUGCCUGCUUUCACCGUUAAUGAAUUCAAUCGUUCAUUUUAUGAGUCUACACUCUUGUUGAAGUGAGCAUCCAUUCAUGAUAGUUUGUACUGCGAUCCGUUAACAUUCCAGUUAGCAAUCCAUAUAAUGGUUUGGAUUUUUGAAAUUCUUUGUAUCGGUUAUGAAAUGUUUUUAACAUAAUUUAUGUUUUUCCUUAAACUUAAGAAUAUGUCAUUUCAUGAAGAAGAGGUAGAAAAGAAUGGACAGCAAUUUUUUGAACAGUUCUUUCCAAGGUUUGGGCCAAUUAUUCCCAUCGUUUGUUAUUAUUUCUUAUCUUUGAUAAUCAUUCAAUUUGAACAUUUUAACAUAGCACCACCCAUCUUUCUAUGAUUAUCUUGUAUCGCCACUUAUGGUAUAAAUAUUCCAUGUAACUUUAUUCAUAUUGAGAUACUAAGUUAUAAUUAUCAUCUUUUUUUAUUAUGAUCUUUAGCUUCUUUUUCCAAACCUUAAUGUGUUUUUAAUUACUCAUAAUUACUCCACUUCCAUCACAACUUUCAUUUCAAAUGCGUCUGCGUCAUGUUAUGAAUUAUUCACCCUCAACACUACAGUACGUAUUAGGUUUCUGAAGACUUCAUAACCAAUCAGUUAAUGGAAAAGUGCAUUGACUUGGCCAAGGAUUGCCAUAUCUUUAUAAUACAUGUUAUUGAUUCCUGCGCCUUCCAAUCUUGUUCCGACUGCUGAAGCUCACCAAAGUUGUCACGAGGAUCUUGCCAAACUCAAAGCUAGCAAGCAGGAUUUCUCAUCUCAGUCAGAAGAGGCUAAACUGAAUCCGCAAAAGAAUAUGAGAAAUCAGCUUUGGAAUCACCUUCAAAAACGUUUCAUUAUUUCUGGAUUCCUAUCAGUACAUAGGCACAACCUUCGGUGAAGGUAUGAGAUUUCUAGACCCUUCAGGAUAAGGAAAAACUGAGAGCCCUGUUCCAGGCAUUCCUGUCUGCACCACUACACCCUGGGGUCAAUUGUUUAUGACACAUUGGACUUGCGGUAACCCUUCUGAGUCAACACAGUUUCUAGAAUUUAGUAGCGAUACUGCAUCUGUUGCAAUUACAACCGCGACAUUAGUGUCAAGAGAGAAUAUUUGAACAUGGGGCAUCUAUGUUCCGUAAUCAGUUUUAAGGCAAGCCAGAGAAGUCAUCCUAGUUGUGAGCUGAUCAUCCGGCUCACCUCCUUGAUUAGAUACUUGUGUAAGCACCUGUGAAAACUCUCUGCCAUCUACCCUAAGGAUGAAAUUGAAUGGAUGUGCACUGAAGCAAAUUUGAGAUUGGAAGGAAAUAAAUACCACAAAACACGUUAGCAGCAGCAAAUUCUAUCACCUAGUGUAACGAGUUAAUUAUGUAUGCUACGCCAAAUCACUGAAACUACAGAACCCAACUAAUUAUAAUGAAGCUUUGAAACUAAUCUCACAGUGCCCCUCUCAUCCUGCUUCGGAGGUGCUGAGCUUUUCGUGGCCACUGGUUGCGAUCAGGGCUGACCAUUUCAGUCACAGGUUUUGGACGUGUUGAAAUCAUGACGGAAUGAGAGGAUCUCUCCACCUAAUUCCCUCACGGUUGCAGUGCUAGUUCCAAUCGUAGCCUUAGGCCUGUUUAUUCGAUCUAUUCCUGGGGCUGAAUCGGUGUUCCUUCAAGUUCACCAGUACGACUCUCAGUGUGUGCUAUUGAUCAAACUGUGAUCGUAGCAAAGCUCCAGAUUCCUAGGGUGUAGUGGCAAUCACUCCUAUGCAACCCUUGAUUCCAUAGACCGAUUUCUUAAUCCCGUGGUAGACAGACUUCCAAUAUGAGAAGCAACUUUCUGGAGUAAACUGCGUUGUCGAGGAUGUUAACAUUCAAGCACGUAGAUACUUCGAGCAAGGGUUGAAGAUUAAAGAGAAAGAUGGUGGCAAAUUGCUGCUGCUCCAACCUGCUGCUCCAUUUGAAUUGGAUUGUUAUCGACCUCAAGGAUAUGUUCACUCAUCUGAAAAGGAUUUAGUACUGUUGAAUUAAUGCAGCAUUGCUUGAUCAGGUUUGCUCAGGUUUUAGAGUUAUUUUGCAAUUUUGAAAACCUCCUAUUUUUUAUAUUGUAGAUUUUUUGAGCAUUAUAAAUGUAUCAUUAGGAUCACAAGCAUCAAAAACAUGUAGGUGGAUCAACUCAAAAUUUUGAAAAAACAAAGAAAAAUCAAAGUCAAUUCAAGAAAAAAUAAAAUAACCAAGUCAAAGGUCCUAUAUCUAAAAAUUAAAAAAACUUCUAGAAUAUUGUGAGUCCAUCAUUAAAUUUUUAGACUUCUAAAAUAAAUUUUUAAAAAAAUAGAUCAAAUUAAAACUUAUAAAAAUUUAUCUAUUUGUAAAGUCAACUUAAAACUCAAAAAGGCCAAAUCCUGAAUUUUCACAAAUCUAUACAUUUUUAGAAUAGUUCAAACAUAUAUUUGCAAUAGAUAAUUUCUAAAUGCAGUUAAUAGUAUUUUCAAAACCCUCAAAAAAUUUUCUGUAACAAAAUUCAAAAUCCUAAAACUGAAAUCAAAGUUGUUAUAUCUUAUAAAUUAAGAACUUAUAGAACAAGUUAUUUAUACCAUUAAAAUUAUAGAUAUCAAAGAUGAGAGGUAGAUUAAGUCAAAAUCCAAAAAUAAAUGGGUCAAAAAAUUGAACACAUUUAUAUAAUUCUAAAUUCUAAAUCUUAAAUCCUAUAUUCUUAACUUUAGAUUUCUAAUCUUAAAUCUGAAAUCCUAAUCUAAAAUUCUAAACUUAAAUCCUAAAUUUUAAAUUUAGAAGAUAGGUCAAUUUAAAAUUUAUAAAAUCCUAUUCAUUUACAAAAUUAAUUUUAAAUUUUAAAUAGUUAAAUCUUCAAUAUUCACAAAUUUAUACACUUUUAGAGCAAUCCAAAUACAUAUUUAGAAUUUUUAACUUCCAAUGCAUCCAUUGAUCUAUUCAAAAAUUCAAAAAUUCUUCUACAACAAAAGUUAAAAUUUAAAGUCUAAGUUAGAGUUACUAUACCUUGCAAAUUAAAAACUUAUAAAAUAAGUUAUUUACAUUGUAAGAAUUAUAGACUCCAAAAACAAGAUUUUUUUAAUUUAGAAUUAAAAAAAUAAGAAGGUCAAAAAAUUGAGCACAUUGAUAUAAUCUUAAAUCCUAAGUUUCAAACAUUGCAAAAGACCAAGCUUUAUUGGUUAUAUAUGCUACACAUAUUUUUUAUAAUAAAAAUACUUCAAGCAGACUUCUAAUCUAAUAUAAGGAUUUUAAAGAUGUAUUUGAUAAGAUGAAUGCAAAUAUAUUUUUUAAAAUAUUUUUCUUAUAAUUGUUCAAUUGAUCUUCAAGAAGGAGCUCAACCACUAUUUGGACCAAUCUAUAGUUUGUAACAAAAUGAAUUGGCUUUACUUAAAGAAUAUAUUAAUAAGAACUUAUAUAAGAAUUUCAUAUGCUAAUUAAAAUUUUAAGCAAAUUCUCUAAUCUUGUUUGUUACAAAAAGUGAUGAAUCACUUUAGAUGCAUAUAAAUUAUUAAAGACUUAAUAAGAUUACCAUUAAGAAUAAGUGUCUUCUUUGAAGAACAUGAAUCACAAAAUAAUCAAAGAGUCAAUACAUUCUUGUGUCACUAGAAAAUAGUAGAUAUUUAUUCAAAGAGAGUUAAAAUAUUAAAAUUAUAAUAGCUAUUACCAAAGACAAGAAGACUAGAGAUUCUUGAAAUAAGACAAAGUACAAAAAAGAUGUUGACAAAAGUGAGAAAAGCCUCACUUUUGCCUUCAUAUAUACUAUCUAUUUAGGGAGCUAUGUCGCAAUGUUCUAUAGAUUAGAUAACAUGUAUAUAAUUUGUAAAGCAAAUUUCCAAUACAUGCAUAACAUGACCAAUAUGUAUGAUAUGUGAUCAAUUUGUAAACUAAGUAGUCAAUAUAUUUGACAUGUGUCCAAUGUUUUGGCCAAGUUUUCAACCUACCAAUCAUCUAUCAAUAUUUAGAAAGUCAAAUCAAUAAAUAUUAUUGCAUCUACUUACUUCUAUUUAUUUCUACAUAAUUCAUUUAAUCUAGGUAAUUUCUAAUGUAAAUAUUUAUGUUUGUUAUAUUAUCCUCCUCCCUCCCCUCUUCCUUCUAUAUACAAGUUCUACAAUGAACAAUAAUCACAUGUUUCAAAAGUCAAAGAUGUAGUGAAUUAUAUUUGCCAUACACUCUAAUCUUUGUUCUUAUUAAAGGUAGUUAAUAGGUCAUCUUAAUUAUUGAUAAAGUCUUAUACUAAAGCAAGAAGACCACUCCAUUACUUGAUUAUUGUUGAUACUUUUGUAACUUCUUCCAAAUAAAAAAAAAAUUAAAAAAAAAAAAAAAAAAAAAAAAAAAAUGUUAGAAGUAGUUUCUACCUCUAAUAAUAUUAUCAAACAUCAAGAUUCUCUUCUAUUUUUUUUUGAAACUAAAUUCCAUAUAUUUUUCUAUUUAUUUAAAGAAAAAUAUGUUGUUUUUGAAGGUCUUCAUGUCUAUUAUGUCUUUUUAAAGGCUAAGACAAUUUUAAUACCUUGUCUAAUAAUUUAGCAAAAAAUAGCUUUUAAAGAUAAUUUGGAGGAUUGUUUUGGCAAAGUUUUGAUCCAUGUAUAGAAAACAUGAUAUAAUUUAUAUGGUGAUAUAUUUGGAAUCUUUUAUUAAAUUAAAAAAAAUUAUUAUUAUUAAAAAGAAUUAUGUUUAUAUUAUUGAAAAACUAAUUACACUAUUUAAUAUUAUCUAAAGAAGUGAUGUAACUUCAAAAUAAAGAAUAUGAUUAUUAAAAAAGAUAAUAUAUCAAAAAAUAAGCUUAUCUAGCUGUAAUAGGGACCAUGCAAUUGAAAUCUUAUAUAAUAUCUAAUAAAGAUCUUAUUUUUUCUUCAAAACCAUUUUUUUUUACAAUAGGUAUUAGUUAAGGAUCUAAACAUCACAAAGCCUUUAUUUUGCUAGAUUUAAGAGCCUCAACUUGUUUUUUAGAUGAAAAAUUAUUAAAAAAGACAUAACAUACUUUUAAUAAAGAAAACUAAACAUGUUCAUAUAGAAGUCAUAACUAAUUGUCUAAUAUCUUUUGACAAUAUUAUCUAUAAAAUAUUUCUUAUAAAAUUAACAAUUAGAAAUUAUAAUAGCUAUUUAUAAUAUAAUUUGUGGUAUUUAAUAUAAUUAAUUUUUUUUCUAAUUCAAUCAUUUUAGAUUUAUUGCGGCUAAGAAAGUAUAACCCUCAAAUAUAUUAGAUUUUUUAUAGUCUUGACUUUUUUUUAAAUGUAAUUAAGAGUAGUGUUAAAUUAGUAUAAAAUCAAAAUUCUAAUGCAAUAAAAUCUAUAUUUGUAGGUGUAUGAGCUUUUUUUGUAAUAAAAAAUAAAUUACCUUAUUUUAUUUAUGCCAUACCUAUUUCUAAUAGUUGAAAGACUUCAAGUGAUAUUCCAAGCUAAUAUCUAGAUUAUAAAGAUAUUUUUGAAAAAAAAAAAAAAAAAAAAAAAAAAAAUCUAAAUAUUCUUCUAAAAUAUUGAUCUUAUAAAUAUUUAACUAACCUUCAAGUCGAAGUUUAACUAUCAUGUACCAAUCUAAAUUUAUCACAAAAUAAAUUGAUUGAAGUAAAAAAAAUAUAUUGAUAAAAAUUUGGCUAAAAUUUUCAUAUUCUAUUCAAAAAAAUUAGUAGGAGCAUCUAUCUUAUUUGUGAAGAAAAAAAAGAUAGAUUUUUACAAAUAUAUGUGAUUAUUGAGGAUUUAACAAGAUUACUAUAAUAAAUGAAUAUUUUCUAUUCUUGAUCUUUGGACUUCUUGAUUAAUUAAAUCAAGCUAAGAUCUAUAACAAAAUAGAUUUACAAUGAGCAUACAAUCUAGUACAUAUCAAAAAAAGAGAUGAAUAGAAGAUUAUACCUUGAACCAAGUAUGGACAUUUUGAAUAUAAUAUUAUGACUUUUGGACUCUCAAAUCCAUCAAUUUUUUUUUAACAUUUAAUGAAUGAUAUUUUUUGAGAAUUUUUGAAUGAUUUUAUUAUUCAUUAUGUAGACGACAUUUUAAUCUACUCUAAGAAUAUAAAAAAGUAUGAGCUUCAUAUUUAUCGUGUGUUAUGGAUGCAUGACUAUAUGCUAAGAUAAAAAUGCAUAUAUUUCACACCACUUAAGUUUAUUUCUUAGGAUAUAGCAUUUCAAAUGAUGGCUUUAUGAUAGAUUCUAAAAAAGUCUGGACUAUCAUCGAUUAAAAGGUUUUAAAAAUAAUAAAAGAUAUUCAACAUUUUUUAAGAUUUGUUAAUUACUAUCAGAUCUUCAUUGAAUUUUUUUUUCAAAUUAUAGCUCUUUUUACAUGUCUCACAUAUAAAGACAAACUUAAGUGAAGCAAAUAAGUUGAAAUACUAUUUGAAGCUUUAAAGACAACUUUUAUUUUUACACCAAUCUUAUAUUGCAUUAAUUUUUUCAAGGCAUUUUUUGUAGAAAAAAAUAAAUCAAACUUUUUUUUAAGAGUAGUAUUGUCACAAAUAGGAAUAAAUAACAAACUCCAUCUACUAGCUUUUAAUUCCAACAAAUAUUUUAGCACUCAAGAUCUAUAAUAGAAUCCAUAAUAAAGAACUUCUUAUAAUUAUGGAUUCAUUUCAAGAAUGGAAUUAUUAUGUAGGAGGAACUUCUAAUCUAAUCAUUAUGUAUAUAGAACACAUGAACUUGAAAUAUUUCAUGUUAGCAUGUGUUUUAAAUUAUUUCUUAGCCCAUUGCAGCAUGACUUUGUCAAGAUUUGAGAUCAAGGUUAUGUAUUGGCUAAAAAAACAACAAGAUUUAUUAGAUGUCAUGUCUAGAUAUUCUUAUCUUAUAUCAAAAGAAGAAGAUACUACUUUUGAGUAAUAAAAAAGUAAUUUUGUUUAAGCCAAAACAACUUCAUCUUCAAGCAAUGAAAUCAAUACUAAGUAUUGAUUCAAAUUUUUCUCAAGCAACUUAAAUCAAGUAUAUCCUUUGAUCUUCUUAUUUGUGAUAUUAAGAACAAAUUUUUUAAGUCUUAUAAUAUUUCUAAGUUUGAAUUUAAAGAUAAUCAAUUUUUUUAAAAAAAUUACUUAUAUAUUCUAAAAAAAUAAAAUACAACUAUGUAUUUUUCAAGUUCAUCAUGACUUUCUAGCUACAAGAAAUUUUGGAUAUAAUAAGACCUUAAAAUUGAUCUUAAAAGAAUUUUAGUGGCCUAAAAUAUGAAAAUCAAUGAAAAACUUUGUACAAUUAUGUAAUAUUUUUUUUAAAUCAAAAAUUCCUUGUUAUCAAUCUUACAGUCUUUUACAACCACUACGUAUAUCAAAAUAACUAUGGUCUUUUAUUUCUAUGGACUUUAUGAUAGAUCUACUAAUUUCAAGUUACUAUAACUCUAUAGUUGUGAUAGUAGAUUAUUUCACUAAGAUAGUACAUUUUCAAUCAUAAACAAAAUCUAUCACAUGUAAAAACAAAUAGCUAAAUUUUUCCUUGAAAAAAUCUAUUGGUAUCAUAGAUUACUUAAGAAUAUUAUAUUUAAUAGAAGAAUCUAAUUUAUAUUAAGAUUUUAAAAAACCUUGUCAAGAUUUAAAAAUAAUUUGAGAUAAAAGAAGUUUUACACUCAAGGCAGUGGUGACUUAAGUUGGAAUAUCUUGUUCAUUGGCGUGGAUAUAAUAUUAGUGAAUGCAUAUGUAAGCUAAUAAAGAAUCUAAUAAAUUUAUGAAAAAAAUUAAAACUUUUUAUCAAUGACAUCCAUGAAAAUCAAAAUAAAAAAUUGAAUUAUUUUUUGAUAUAAAUACAUAUAUAUAUAUAUAUAUAUAUAUAUAUAUAUAUAUAAUAAAGAUUAUAUUCUAUCUUUUAUCCUUAAUUAUGAUUAUUUAGUAUUUGUGGCACAAUUAAGAUAGAGAACCAACAACCAAAAAAAUUGAGUCAAGAACUAUUAUUUGUUAAGUUACUAGACAAGAUAAUAUAAUUAUCACAACCUUCAAGACAAUAUAAUAGAAAUGAAGACUUUUUAAAAUAACACCUUCUUUUUUAAAUAUAUGGUGAGAUAUAAUGUGUUUAAUAUUACAAUCUUAAAAGAGAUUCUUAAUGUUUGGUGAUAGUAUUGGAUGUAAGAAAUACCUUUUACAAUGUUCCAAAUGUUUUAUUUGAGUGAAGUUACAAAAGCCUUGAUAAUAAUCAAAUAUCAAGGUGGUCUUUUUGUUCUAGUAUGGAACAUUAUCGAUGGCUAAGAGAACCUAUCAACUACCUUUGAAGUGAAUAAAUAUAAUUUGUCGCAUCUUAGAUUUCUUUAAAAUGUAAUCACUAUGCUUUGUAGAACUCGUCCCUAGAAGAUGGAAUAAUGUCAUGGUUAUAUAUAUUUAUUCUAACGAUUAUUUAAAUAAUAUGAAUAAAUAGAAGUAGAUUAAAAUAAAUUAAUUUGAUAAUACCUAAUAGAUAAGCUUCUUAAAAGCUUCAUAGAUACAACUUUGAUUAUAUACAUGUUUAUAGUUGAUUAGUUGGUUGAAUACUUGGCCAACAAGUUAAUCACAUGUUACGCAUGUUGAUAACUUGUAGUACAAGGUAACUAUAUGGGGCACAUAUAAAAAACUUUUUUUGCAAAUUAGAUACAUAUCAUGCAAGUUAGGCAUGUGUUGGAGGUCCUAUAGAGCAUCGCCAUGUAUAUAUAUAUAUAUGUAUAUAUGCAAAAGUGAGGCCUUCUUCAUUCUUAUCAAUUCCUUUUGUACUUUUAAUGUAAUUUCAAGGGUCUUCAGUUAUCUUAUCUUUUGGCAAUAUCCAUUCCAAUUUCUUCUUGAAUAUAUAUACUUUUAUAUUUUAUUUUGUCAACUUUCUUUUAGAAAUAUCUCACAUGUUUAUUUGUAUUCAUAGAAUUCUUGUCUUUGACAGAUACAUACAAAGUGUAUUCAAAUAGCAUACAUAAACAUUGAAAAAUAAUAAAUAUACUUUAUGUCUACAUUAAUGCUUCUAGUAUAAAUAGCCCUUCGAUAUUUCAUUCAUCCGAUCGGAUGUAUUUGGCAGUUUUUUUUUCAUCCAAACGACCUCCUCUCUACCCACCAGUCCAACUUCGACUUCUACGACGAAGGCAUCUUCACAAAGUCAAACAACACAAAAAGUCUCGGUUUGGAUGAAAUCCACCCAAGGGGACUGUGUGAACACGAACCCACUCCGUCAACCCACUCACGGGAACACACGUUCUUACGUUCCCCAUCCUGAAAUGCCAACUGGACCAGCCAGCCACGUAGGAUUUUACGCCAGGAGGUGGGAACGUGGACAACCGAACCUAUCUGGCACGGUGAGGUGUCCGACGAUGGCGGGAAAAAGAUGCCUUGGACCAGAUCGGUGAGAGCCUUUUCUGCCCGUUGACCGCGGGAAGCGACAGCUAGCACGCGUUACACCCCAGUUCCUUCUGAGCUGGCAUCUUCGGGUGGGUGCGUACGUGGCACAGCGUGAAAUUCGACCCUUACGGGCGCAUGAAAAAACGCCAUCUAACUACCAUCCAAAGGACGAGAAAUUGGGUGGACUGCGUCUUUUUCCGUGGAUGAAAUCAGCUGACAUUGGAUGGAUGGGGGGGUUUGGUGGGCUACUCUUCCCAACACUUGAAUUAUUCUUGUGGAUUCUGGGCCAUUUUUUGGCUUAAACUCAUAACUCUCUUAGCUUAAGACAUGAUUAGAUUGGCCCAAUAAAGCUCACAACACUACUUGUUAUAUAUAUAUAUAUAUAUAUAUUUAUAUAUAUAUGCAUGUAAGUGUGUUUGUGUGUUUUAGUAAUAGUAAUAAAAUUGGCAUGUGAAAAUUGGGUUGGAUUGAUGAGUCUAGAUGGUAUUAAUUAGGAUUGAAAACGUGUGCUGAAUUUGAUGAUGUGCUAAAGAUAUAUUAAGAAAGACAUUCUAAAAGAAAUAUAUAUAUAUAUAUAUAUAUAUAUAUAUUUUCAAAUCCGUUUCAUUACUUAUGAUUAUUGCAAUGACUGUCCCUCCAAACUCAAGUAUAUUCACUACACAUAGCAAAAAUAAUAUAUAUCUCAAGGAAUAUACAAAUUCUUAAAUUCACUUCUUUUAUUUAAUGCCUCAAUCUAAAUCCUAGGUUUAAUUAUUCACAUUUGUUAAUUUCUGCUGGAGUUACGCAUAAUUGAAAUAAUAUUAAUACAGUCAUGUUUGCAGCAUAAAAUAAUAUUUCAUGUAUUGAAUUUAUUUAUUAGACUAUCACAAUGGCAAAUGUAUUAUCUUGUUUUUAUUUUUUAAAUAAAGUAUGACUGAACAAGCUAAUUUUGGUUUUCAUUUUCUAACUUAACAAUAAACACCAAUACAAAUGAAUAAAUACUUGCAAACCAAAUGGCUCAUAUUAUUUAAUUCCUACAAACACCACCAUAUUUAUAACAUUAUUUUAAUUGCAGAGUAGAUUUUUUUCAAAAUAAAAUUUGAAAUUAACAAAAAAAAAAAAAAAAAAAAAAAAAACCUGCGGGUUUCGAAAAACUAACAACUUUAUAUGUCCUUUCAAAAAAUUAACAUUAAUUUUACAGAUAUUGUUAUUAUUUUUACUCAUUCUUUGUGAGAAAAAUUUCGAAAUAGAGAGAUGUCAAUGUGAGGAUAUCAAAUUUUAUGGAACUUUGUUUUAGAUAAUCUUGCCAUGCAACCAAAAUAUAUUUUUGGCAUUAGUUCAAUUUAUCUUAAACAACAAAAGAAUUGUUUCAAACUUGAAGUAGGUUUAUCAUAGAAUCAUGCAAUUUGAAAAUGUCUUCUUUCACAACUUUACAAUGUUAUUACAUUGUGAAUACAUUUUGAAUUGGUCAUUUACAUCAAAUCAUGUUCCCUAAUUGUUAGUUGGUACACAUUAAAAAUAGAACUAGUUUUAAAGAAUAUACUUUCUACAUUUAUUGAGUGCAUGCUUAUGUUUCAAUGAUAUUUUUAUUAAUUGAUUUGUGUGUGUACAUGAUCUUAGGCUGGUUGUUAUUUGAAUAUAAAUACAAACACAUAUCACAAUGAUUUUUCAUGAGUUCAUCAAAUACAAUUCCCAUAAACAAUACAAAAUUAAAUAAAAGUAUGAUAUAGUGAUAUAUAAUUACAGAUAAAAAAGAACAAAACUUUAGUUUGAAAUUACUUCAAACCACUAUAAUAUGGCAUAUUGGUAUGAAGAAGUUCAAAAUUUUGUUGAAAAAUCUCCAAUUUUUCUUAAUGAAUAUUACCACAUAGAUAACAAGUCUCUGA